UCAACCAAAUAAAGCAAAUUCGAAUGGAUGAUGAUGAUGAUGAUCACGAUGACAACGACCAUGAUGGUAAUAGUAAAAAAUUAUAAUUAGGCUAAUUAUUAUCUGAUCGGUUACAGAUCAGGAAACAAUGAGACCUAUAUCAAGUCUCACUAAUUGGACAACCAAAAAGUGCACCUAAAAAAAUUAAAAAUUAAAAAGGAGUGUAUUGCACGUUCUUCAAGCUGUCGAGCACCAGUCUUGCCUCGUCUAUUCGAUUCCUACUUCGGCUAUAUUCAAGCUCUUCCUUAUGUCGUCUAUUCGAUUCCCACUUCGGCUUAAAAGCAUGCACCUUUACAACUCAAUCCUUCGGCUGCUCUGACCCGAUUCCAAUCUUGUGGUGCCGAACCCGGUCGGAGCUCCGCACCGUCCCCGAUGACCCGCCACUGACGAACCUCCGUCCUUCCUUCUCCUUGAACUCGAGCUGCUCUCGAGCGCAGCACUGGCCUUGAUGGCGAGCGAGCAGAGCUCUUGGAGAGAGAGAGGGGCUCGCGACAUGGAGAGAGGCAAGAGGAAAUAGAGUUGGCCCAGAUGUAGGUCUUCUUUUUCCUGAAUCUGAGGGGCUAUGGAGUCGAUGAACAUGGAGUCUGAGCUGCAGAGGAAGCAGUUAGGGUUUUGGGAGAGGAAGUGAGAGGCCUUCAUGGUUUCAGUGAACUCUUCCAGCCUUCCAUCCACGUGAAUGAGCUUGAGCAUGGAUGGAUAUGAUGAUGACCCGUUAUGGUGAUGGGUGGUCAUGGCGAGGCCGCCAUUUCUGGUGAUCUGAGGAGCUGCACAGUUGCCCAUUCUAUGAGUAUGAGAGAGAGAGAGAGAGAGAGAGAGAGAGAUUGGUGUUUGCUUGGCGAAUAUGCUUGAAAUGGGUAGGUAUUAAUAGGGGGAUUAAGGCGCGUUUGACCCACUUUUGACCCUCAACGGUUUGAUUUAUUACCAGUUCCAUGUCAUCCAAGGACGUGUUUAUUCAUUCCGCGUGUGCCAUAAAUGAGAAUUAUUGGUAAUUGGUUGCAUAUUAUGUAAUUCGCACAUGGGCUUGCCAAUAGCAGAAAUUCCCUCAGGAAAAGCAGUGCCGAGGGUUUCGAUCGAAGGACAAUUAUUACGAUACUUCUUGUAAUAAUUGCCUAAAAUCCCCCCUUCUCCCCCUCACUCUUAAACCUUGAAAAGUUAUAGAUUAUCUCCUCCCAUUUUGGCACUUGUUGCCCUCUAGCCCCGAACUUUGGAAAUUUACAUACCAUCCCCCUAAAUUUUAUGCUUCGUUGAGCUUAGCCGUUCGGCUGAUUGAGAUUUUGUAUUGGCGGGCAUGUGAGAAUUUGUGAGUUUUGGAUUUGGUGGGGUUUAGGUUGAAGAAGAAGAUGAUGAUGGUGAUCGCGGCUGCGGGGGAGAGAGAGGGAACAUUGAAAAAAGAAAAAUAAAAUGCCAAUUAAAGGACAUCACUAAGUUUCUAAUGAUAUUAAUGCCAGGUCAGCAAUUCUAUCACAGGAACGAGUAGGAUGACAAUUUUAAGAAGCAUUGGGAUGAUUUAGAAUAAUAAUAAAAAGACGGUAGAAGAAUGGUUUUGAUUUCUUAAUUAAGGUAAAUGUAUCAAUAGUUCACCUUAUCGAAUUCGCUAAAUCCUUCCUGGCAUACUAAUCCCUCUAGGGCACUCGGAGGAAUUAUAAAAAGGUUAAUACCACGAAAAACUACAAAUUCACAUAUUUAUGAUAAAUUUAUUUCAAAACUAAUUUUUUAAUCACAAAUUAAUAUACUUGUAAUAAGUUGACCAUUUAUUAAUUUACGUUAAAUUUUAUUAUCAGAUUACUUAAUUAAUUAAUAUGAAGCAAUUAAAUAGUGUAGCAGUUUGGGGUUUUGACCUCAAUUUUCCAUAAAUAUAUUGAUUUGCUAUAUUAAUUAAAUUUAAUAGAAAUUAAUGAAAAAUAAAUUUAUCACAAAUAUAUUAAUUUGAGUUUUUUUAUAGUAAAAAAAUUAGUUAUGGAUAAGUUUAUCAUAAGUGCACCGAUUUGAAAUAUUUUAUAAUUAAAAAUUAAUUGAUAGAUAAAUUUAUCCUAUCUAUAUUAUUUUAGAGUGUUUUAUGGUAUUAAUUUAAUAUAAAAAUGUCAAGUCACGUCAAAUACCGAGAAUACGCCGACGAAGAAAAUUCCUGAUCACUCGGCAUUGCCCCAAAAGAAAAAGAAAGAUAAAAAGUGAGUCACUCGGAUUCCCAUGUGCAAUUAGGCGAAAGACACGACACGACACAAGAGGUUGUCCCAAGCCUUUGUUUCUUUCCCGUGCAUUGCAAUGCAAUUCCCAGGAAGCAACCAAUAUGCGGGACCCACGUUGAAAUAGGGGCACUUUUGACUUGGCGACGUGUGCAUGAAGGCUUUGCUUUGCCUUGUAGUCCGACUCCAAUUAUUAGGGUGUAAAAUCGAGCUGGAUAUACCUAGUUCCUGAACCAGUUCACUCGGAAGAUAAGGUCGGAACCGAUUUCAAUUUAAACCAGUCUAGAAACCGGUUCGCAAAAUUCGAAACUAGUUUAAAAUAGGUCUAGAAGCAUUUCUAGCCGAAAAGAAAAAUGUCUACAAGCAGCCGAUAUUGAAUGAUUUAAAAGAUUUGUCAGCAUAGCAUGCCGUGGACCGAAGCCUACCUCACUUGACUUUGUUUCGUUCAAAGUGAAAAAAAAACAAUAGAACUCAAAAAACAGUUGAUAUGUAUUUUGGGAAAAUCACCGCAUUCAUUGAAGUGAUAUUUCACUUAAAUUCUACCUUAGACUUUUUUAGUGCAUAUAUAUAUAUAUAUAUAUAUAGGGAGAUGACAUUACACAUGACAAGUGAAAUAAAUUGGGACAGAAUAUAAUUUCGAUAAUACAUUAGAAUGUUUAACUUAAGAGUUUGAAUUUAUAGAUGGGGGAAAUCACAUGAAUAUAAAGAACUUCUAAACCCCAUAAAUAAGCUAAACAAAUUUAACAAUAACCAUACAUAUAGAAAAGCGGAACUAAGUAGCAGACAAUUAUUAUUGUGACAUAGACAUCAUACUUAUCAAGAUAUAAUGGGAACAAUUGAUAUAUAUUAUGGGAAAAUGGUCACAUUCAUUAAAGUGAUGUGAUAUUUCACUUAAAUUCUACCUCAGACUUUUGGACAUGUGUGGAAAAGAUAUAUAUAUAUAUAUAUAGGGAGACGAUUAAACGUAAAAUUCAACAAAUGAGAAGGCUAUACAUGUGAAAUAAAUUGGGAUAGAACAUAGUUCUAAUACAAUGUUACAAUGUUUAAUCUGAAAGCUUAACCUUAUUGAUAGAGAAAAACCACUUAUAUGUAAAGAGCUUAUAAACUCCGUAAAUAAGUUAAAUGACUUGAAUAAUAACUAUACAUAUGGAAAAGUGGAACUAAGUGGUAGACAGUUAUCAUUGUGAUGUAAACAUCAUACUUAUGAAGGUAUAAUGGGAACAUUUGAGUGAGAUGAAAGGAAGGUAAGUAUUCCAUUAAUAAUAUAGAUCGAUGAAAGAUAUAUGGAUAAUGUCCAAUGAAUUCUUAUUUUUCAAAAUUUCCAGCUUACUAAUUUGUAUACUUGUUCAUCAAUUAUGAAAUGACAAACCAUAGAGCUCCAUGGCCAAAAGUGAAGGAAACAACAUAGCUCUCUAUCUAAUAUCUUCCACAAGUAGGUUAAUUAAAUUAGCUUUUCUUGAACACGUAUAUUUUCUUUUAGAGAAAUACAAUUCAAUAGCUAUAACUUGUGUGAUUUCAAAAAUGUGCUUAUGUGUCUCUCAAUAAGGCUACAAUUUAUUCUAUCAAGCUUUAAAUUAAGAGGAAAAAACAUUAAUCAACCAUCGUAGAAGCGAAAAAGAAGGUGGUUAACAUGAUUAACGUAUGAUGGGUAAAUUUUGCAUUUGCUAUUGUAAGUCUAAAUUUGAGAUUUGUGCGAUUGCCUAAUCAAACCAUCACACUUUAAACUCAAUUAGAUAGUAAUUUGAGAAUCAAUUAUCACAGCACUAGUGGUCUCUUUAAUUAGCUAUAUUAAACAUUAAUUCUUCACAUGAACCAAAUUGAGAAUGGAAGUUCUUAUUUUUUCAAUUUCCUCUUUUAUUGGCCAAAUCAUCAACUGUUCCCAGCCUCUGCAACCCCAUUCCUUAUCAUGGGCUAUAUAUCAUAGAAAGAUUAGUAGCUCUAGUCCUUUUCUUAAGCACUGCAUAUAAAAGUGAAGAUAUUCCCUCGUCUUAGGCUACAUAAAAAGUUCAAGAAAUGGAAUAUCACGAGAUCUUUUCAAGCUUCGCACGCUUUUACACCUCUCAUGUCCUUAUCACGACAUAUAUUGCUGGCUUCUAUCAUUAUUUUACCAUAUAAAGCUACUUUAAUCUAAAACAAUAGCAACAGCUACGACGACGACCACAACAAUAAUAAUAAUAGUUAUAAUGACUGUGAAUAAUGGUGAUAUUUAAUAAUUGAAAGAAUUUUUAAUAGGCUAAUCAUAAUCAGAUUGAUCACAAAUCUAAAAACAAUUAGACGAAUAUUAAGUGUCCCAAAAGAGAGUUGUUAAUUUUAGGACGACCAAAUAAAGAGUUGUUCACACAAAAAAAAAAAGNNNNNNNNNNNNNNNNNNNNNNNNNNNNNNNNNNNNNNNNNNNNNNNNNNNNNNNNNNNNNNNNNNNNNNNNNNNNNNNNNNNNNNNNNNNNNNNNNNNNUAGGUGUGUAGCUCACCAGUUCUUGAUCUAUUAUAUAUUUACCCUUUACCAAAAAAAAAAAGUAUAUAUCACUAUUGCUAAGAUUGUUUGAAAUUACAAGCCACCGUAUCAUUUUAGCGCUAUGUUCUUCUUCGCUGCUUCAUAAAAGCUGGUAUGAGGCGACUACCAGAAUUAUAAAGGGGAAAGCCACGGGAAAAGGAUCCAAAAGUACAAAAAAACUGCAAAUCCUCCGAGGGUAGUGAAAUGAUAAUCUAAAUAUGACCAUCAGAAAUUCAAAAUCUACAUGGUUGCUGGAGGGAAAUUCAUUCAAAUUAGUCUUGCUAAUAAGUCUUAAUUUCCUUGUGAAAAAGGUUUCAAACCUGUACAAAGGUCUUAAGCUUCACAUCGUCAGGUUCGACGUCGAAGAAAAUGGGCAGUAUCUUCUUGUUCCCCCCUUGAUCUAGAUGUGUCGUCCACGAUCCGCACGAGCUCACGGAGGCACCAUUUGCUGAAAGCAUAUGUUCUGGAGAAGAUUGGAAUGUACAGCUUGGAGUCGUCGAUCGCCCGCAGAAGCGCUCUGCCGAUCGUCUCUGAAGACGCGGACCCCAGCGUCAACCAAGGCGUGGUAGAGGGUGUCAGUGAACCCGCGGCGAGUGUCGGGCCCUCGAAAGCUCAGGAACACCUGGAAGCCGGCUCCUAGCGCAGUGGCGCCGCUACUCGUUCCGGCCGCCGAGGUGGGCAUUGGAGAUUCUUGGUCAGCAGCCACAGACGUCAUCAGUAUCCGCCCCCCCUCUCCCUCUAUUUGUUGUCACCCGACAAGAGGAUGGUCGGUUCGCAUGCCCAUGCUCGGAGCUGACACAAGCUUCGACAAAUCGAGGGAAAGCUGAAACCGACUGGGUUCUCUUCUUCGUACAAGCUUACCGGACAGCAGGUGAAGGUCUUCUUCUGUCACUCUCUUGUCUUUGCCAUGGCCAGAGGAUCCCACUUCAAUGACGUGUGCUUUGCUUACGAGUUAACGACUAAAGAAAGUGGACCAAAAUUCCCGAGUCCGUCGGACGAAAAUCGAAAGAAUCACCUUGUUUAAGCUCCGCUUAUUUCAUAAAUAAUAAAAUAUUCUAAAAUUAUUUUUUAUUCUCAAAACGAUUGCUCGUGUAUCUUAAAAUUUCAAAAAAUAGAGAAAUUACGGCAUUCGACAAAAUAAAUUGACCUUUUUGAUCCAUUUGAUCAAUUAUUUGACCAUCAUUAACCUAGUCUUAAUUUUUUUUUAUUACCAUUGGUAUCGAUAUCAAUUCAGGACUCGAUAUUGUCAUAUUAAAGAUAAAUAAAUGAAUAGAAAAUAUUUUAUCAUCCAUGAAUAUAUUUAGAUUUAUAUUAUUGACGAUAACAAAAAUAUUUUUUAUCGAUUAAUUAUUUUAAGUGAUAUGAGUAAUCGUUUUUAGAAAAAAAAAAUUCAAAUCACUUAUUUCCGUGAAAGAAUAUAAUUAGAUCUUUAAGCAAAGCUAAAAAAAGAAGCACAUAAAUAUUUUUCCAACACUAAUUAGGAACCUUUUGCUUGCGUAGCGAAAGAGACGUUAAUAUCAUCAAAUAAGAUUUUUAUUUUACCUUUUGUUUUGGAAGGCAAUUUCUGUAUUUGGCCACCCAUUGAGUGAAGAAAGGCAUAGAAACCACUAAGAAUUAACUACAGGGGCAACCAUCAAGAUAUAUCUAAUUCAGACUCCAUCACUACCAGCACGUCAUUAGGCCAAUAUCUAUUUCACGGGAUAGAAUCGUGCCCAAAGCGCGUGUCCUCCCAAAAGAACACCACGAUUUAUUGUUCCUUUUCCUGAUCCCAAAUCAUAAUCUUCUAAGACCUUGAUUUAUAAUUUUUGUUCCCUUAAAAAUUUUUGGAAUCAAGACUGACCUAGUAUUUCAUCCAAUUUAAUGGCAUCGUUGGAAGCAGCUUUUAAGGAGUUAAUUUAAAUCAUUCACAGAAGAUUUGAAUAUAGUUCUAAGUCGUUCCACAACUAAGGGUACUGAAAUGGAAUGAAUUAUGAAUCUCACACGUAGUAAAACAUGUAAAGGUUAAAUUCAAGAUUUAAAAAGGUUUUGUAUGGGAUUUUACAAAAUCCUAAUGCUAUUGGAUGGAUUUAAAGCCCCACUAAAAAUGAGAAGGCCCAAUAUAAUUCCAUCGGCUUGCUUUACUCGUUUUGAGCAAAGCCCAAACGUCAUUUUAAAAACAUUAAGACAAUGGGCCUCUCUUACACAUACAAAGGUCCAAUGCAAUUUUAAUGCUUUCGCACAAGAAAGCCCAAUUGCAGUUUAUGAACACGAUGAAAACUUUUUUCUUUUCAAAAUUCUUUUAUCUCGGGCUGAUGCUGACGUGUACAUUAUGUUAGUGAAACGCGACAGAAGCUUUGGGAGCUAGGUUGUGGGACAAAAUUUUAGCAUUUGACUUGUAUGAAAACGAAAAAUCCGAUGGUGGUGAUGGUUUUUCAAAAGGAGUGAUGAAAGAAAACAUGUCUCGUAAUAGGCUAAUGAUGUGUGUGCUUACAUGGCAAAUAUGUGUUGAGAAAACUCCUAUUAGAUUUUGAAGUUAACAAAAUUUUCUUUCUUCUCAUUCUUGUUAUUAUUCUGAAGAAUACUAGACUUUUGUGCUAUAUCGUGGAAUUUUGACAAACUCUAUCUACUCUAGAAGUCUUUUCCACUCUGACGAGAUCCAGACGGAAACCAAGUUCAAAACAAAGAUAUAAUCAGACUCGAGAAUAUUGAUCUCUUGACAAAAUUUCAGUACGAACGAAAUUUAUCCUUAAUAUCUGACUUUCUGGCGAAGAAUCUCACUUGUCUUUUAUAAAUAUAUUGAUGGAAUCAAUCACGAAUUGAUGAAAUCAAUUCUGAAGAUAAGUUCCUUUUUAGGAAGCAUCUACUUAUGGAAACCUAGAUCUGAUUGUAUGGGCAACCAGAAUCAUCGGAUUUUCAUCUCAAUCUUCAAACAGUUACAAAAUUUCCUUAAUCGAUUAUGUCCAAUGGAUUGCUUGAAAGAAAUUCCUCUGGAGAAUGCCAACGGUUAGAAAGACAUAGAGGAGUAUUUAAGGAGGUCAUUCAGUCCAUUUUGGAUAAUGCGUGAAAAUUAAAAUUCCAAAGUUUGAGACAUUUUCAAUCACUUAUUCUUCAUCGACAAUGCUUACAAAUUGUAUUCAAAAGAGAAAAACACCAGAAAAGUGACUUAGUGAGAGAAAAAGAAAUCAUUCAUUGAGUGUUUGUACUCAAAUCGUUGUAUUUCUCUAUUGAUACCUUAAUGAAUUUCAGCCAGAAAAUUGUCAAUGUGGGAGAGUAGACGUAGGCUUGACUUAAGUCGAACUACUAUAAAUCUUGUGUUCAAUUUUUUUUCCCUUAACUCUUAUUGAUUUGUUCGUUACAAUCUUUUUCUGAACUUAUCAAAUUUCUAAACCUUCUCUAAUUAAGUCUGAAUUUACUUAAGAAGUCUGGUAGCACCUUUAGUCAGAAUUUGGUUGAAAUUUAACUCAUUAUGCAUUUAUUUGUUUAAAUUUGUUUUUACAUAUGUUCACCUCCUCUCUAGGUGGUAAUACUAGCAUUUUUAAUUGAUAUCAGAGCUGCGGUACUUGUCUUAUUUAAGUGUUUUUACUUCUGAGUUAAAGAUCUUCUAUGACUAGUAUCUUGGUGCUAGGGCUUAUUGAAGGACAAAGCAAUAUCAGGCCACCCUACUUUGAUGGAAAAGAGUACAAUGUGUGGAAGAAUAAAAUGAAGACGUUUCUAAAAUCCAAAGACCCUAUGGAAUGAGAUGUUGUGGAAAGAAGAAUCAAUCCAAAGGCAACAUCAACUUCAGACAAGGGAAAACAAGUCAUAGAUAAAAAUGCUGAGGAUUCCAACUAAGUAGAAAUUACCAAGAAACAGGCUCUUGAUACUAAAGCUAUUUAUUUUUUAUACCGUGUCUUGUCUCCUACUGAAUAUAACAUAAUUUUUUCAUGUGAAACAGCUAAAGAAGUCUGGGAUAAGCUUUACGUCACUUAUAAAGGUACAUAUUGUGUAAAAGAGACAAAAAUAAACAUCUUAGUUGGCCAAUAUGAGUCCUUUAUAAUGAAAUUUGGAGAGUCUAUUGGAGAUAUGUUCACUCACUUUACGGAAAUUAUAAAUGGAUUGGCAUAUCAAGGUCAAUCAAUUUCUGCUCCAAUGAAUGUCAACAAAUUACUGAGAGGGCUUUCAAAGGACUGGAACCAUGUGAAGACAUCAAUUUGAGAGACGCAAAUGAUCAUGCCUCUUUUUGUUGAUGAGCCGAUAGGCAGGUGAUAGAAAUAUCUAUUUUCCUUUUGCAAAAUACAUCAAUAAUAUAUAUCUAAGAUUUAUGCUCAAGGAAAUCUCUUUGAUCUCGAAAGAUAUUAUUGCAUAUUUAUGGAUACUCUUGCUAUAUUCUUAUAAGAUAUAUUAUAUCUAGCAAGUUUGAUCCGCAAAUCAAAGGAAGAUAUUACGUAACUUUUUGCAAAGAUGAUUAUCCAAUUAUACAAGAUUUUGCAAGUGGCAAAAGAAUCUUCCAUAUGGAUUUUGGAAAGCUCGAUCUGAAAACUAUAAAGAUUCUAUACUAUCUUCUGGAGGCUCAAAGAUUCUAUUCCUUAUGCAAAUUUUUUGCUUAUUGAGGAAAUCCCUUAUGCGUUGUACGAAAGAUUGAGUAGUUUUGAAUUUUAAUUUCAUAUAUGAAUACUUUUAAUUUCAUAUAUGGUAUUCAAUUUAUUUAUUUAUUUGAAGAAAUGGGAUUAUAUAUUAUAUGGAUAUUAUUACAGCUUAUUUGUGCAAAAAGUUUGUUAAGUUGAUGCAGGUUGAAUUCGAGACGAGCUUAAUUGAAGAAAAUAAAAUUUUGCCUCGAAUUUCAAAAUGCAAAUGAUUGUUGCGGAUGUUGUCGCUACAAAGGAAAUACUGAAAAAUAUUUUGUUCAACUUGCGCAAACAAUUGUUUCUAUUCGCAAAUAUUGUCAUGAUCACAGGGGGAGAACGUGAAUCUAAAAGAAAGAAAAAAUCAUCAUCAUCUCAAAAAGGUAACAAAUUGAGGGGGAGCUUUGAUCAAUUAUGGAAAAAUCUUUUUGGAUUGAUCGUGAUCUUGUUAUGGAAAGAAGGAAAAGGUAAAUGCGUCAGAAUUUAAGUUCUACAAAAUCUGGUUAGUGCAUUUUAUAUUUUGUCAUUAACAAAUCUCUUAUUGAUCUUUUAUUAUAUUUUGUCAUUAACAAAUCUCUUAUUGAUAUUAUCAUUUUAUUAUGACAAAAAGGAUAAGUGAAUUUUAUAAUGCAUCUAUGAUUUUUAUUGGAUAUUUGCUGAUAUAUAUGAUCGAAGUAAGCUAUAUUGCAUAUCUUUAAUAUUCGAUUUACUUUAUAAAAGCUAAUUUUUGGAAAUUAUGCAAGACAUAUUUGUUAUCAUUUUAUAUUCUCUAUGUGAUACUUUUUCCAUUAUAAUUGCUUUUUGAUUAUGACAAAAAGGGGGAGAAGAUAUGAAUAUGCAUAUGUGUUGAUUGGUUGAUAUUAUUUAUUGCAUAAUAUUGAGCUGCGAUUAUUUUUCUAUAUAUUGUUAUGCUCAAUCUAUUUGCUAUCUUCAGAUAUCCUUUGAUUUAAAUUAAUAUUUUUAAAAGUAUGUUUACAAAUCUGCAUAUUCAGAGAUUGUUUUGUCAUCAUCAAAAAGGGGGAGAUUGUUAGGGAAAUCCCUAUGAUGUUUUGAAAAUGACAAAAUAAAUCAAAAGCUACUAACAUGUUUAAUGGUUAAGUAAUAGACCAUGCAAAUGAUAGAACAUAUAAAGGAUAUUGUCAAAGUCUGAAGACGGCCAAAAAACUGAACAUAACAUAUGUCCAAAGUAUAUUCUGAAGAUUUCCAGACUUCUGUGUUAAAGUCUGAAGAUUGCCAGACUUUAGUGUCAAAGUUUGUUCUACAUCAUAAGUCUGCCAACUCUGACAAAUUCCAAACUAAACGUGAAUGAAGAACCAGAAGAUAGACUAUAUGCUGAAGUUGAACUAGAAAACAGACUCUAUGCUGAAGCUAAACUUAUUCAGACUGUGUUCAGACUUUAAAACUAAAACUGUUCAAAAGCAUAAUAUGUUCAGACCCAGAUUGUGAAGUCUAUUGCACUCAGACUCAGAUUAUAAAGUCUAUUGCACUCAGACUCAGAUUGUAAAGACUAUUGCACUCAGACUUUACAUCCAGAUUCGACAAAACGUAACAUAAGCCCCAAUCAUAUAACGGUUAGUGAUCUAAUUUGGAUUCCACAUCAAGAUUGAUUUGAUUGACUCAAUCUAAUUGAUUGACGAUUGGAUCUUGAAGACAAGAACUUUUUAUACGAAGAAGCUUUACUUAUGGAAACCAAGAUUCUGUUUGUAUGGGCGAUCGGAAUUAAUUUGGGAUUCUACUUUUGUGACUUAACGGCUACCAAAUCUUCUAGAUAUAGAGCUGUCCAAUGGGUAGAUUGGAAGACGAUCCUCGAGAUACUAUCCAACGGCUAGUUUGGAAGUGGAGGAGUAUUUAAGGAGAUGAAGGACUGAUGAGCAAAUAAGAGACGGAGCGUAUAAUUUAUAAUUCCAAAGUCUGAGCGACCUUCGAUCAUACACUUGUCUUUGGUGAGCUUAAACAUUUGUGAUCAUGAAAGAAAUACCAAAAGAGUGACUUAGUGAGAUAGUGUGAUCUACUAAGUGUUUGCACUCAAAGUUGUAAUGUCUUGUUAAUUGCACAGCGGAAUCCAGCCAAGAAUGUUUAACUUAAGAGUUUGAAUUUAUAGACGGGGAAUAUCACGUGAAUAUAAAGAACUUCUACACCCCAUAAAUAAGCUAAACAAAUUUAACAAUAACCAUACAUAUAGAAAAGUGGAACUAAGUAGCAGGCAAUUAUUAUUGUGACAUAGACAUCAUACUUAUCAAGGUAUAAUGGGAACAAUUGAUAUAUAUUUUGGGAAAGUGGUCACAUUCAUUGAAGUGAUGUGAUAUUUCACUUAAAUUCUACCUUAGACUUUUGGACUUGUGCGAAAAUAUAUAUAUAUAUAUAUAUAUAUAUAUAUAGGGAGACAAUUACACGUAAAAUUCAACAAAUGAGAAGGCUUUACAUGCGGAAUAAAUUGGGAUAGAACAUAGUUCUAAUACGAUGUUACAAUGUUUAAUUUGAAAGCUUAAACUUAUUGAUACAGAAAAACCAAUUAUAUGGAAAGAGCUUAUAAACUCCGUAAAUAAGUUAAAUGACUUGGACGCUAUUCAGCGCAGAAAAGGGACAGCGUUCUUAACGGUCAAUCAUUCGAUACUUGCUCCAUUAUUGCUUGGCAUGGCCCAAGAAAAAGUUAAAGACGAAAGCAAUUUAUUCCAAUUUAUUCCAUUAUUGCUUGAGCGUACUAAUCUCGCUAGGGCUAGGGCACUUGGAUAAAAUAAGGCUGUACAUGAUAAAAUUUCCGUUUCUUGAUUUCUUUGUUUCUUUGUUCCCCAGAACAGGUUUGGAACAUAAAUCCGUUUGGUAACACAAUUUGAUUUCUCUAUUUCUGAAACAGAUUUAUAUUCCAUAAAUAGAUUUGUAGAAGAAAUUAGAAGCUAAAAUUUUUAGCUUCUCAGUUUCUAAAAUAGAAAUUGAGAAAUCAAUUUCUGUUUCAAAAAUUUUGUCAUGCACACCCUAAAAUUGCCAAGUCAUUUUAAAUACGCAAGGAUACGCUGAUGAAGAAAAUCCAUAAUUCACCGUACGUGAACAUGAUGUCAGGCAAUCAUUCAUUAUGUUCUCCAUUUUCUCUUGGCAUUGCCCAUAAAGAAAAGCAAGAUAAAAAGUAAUUCACUCGGAUUCUCAAGUGCGAUGAAAUAAAAGACACGACACAAAGGUUGUCCCGCGGUGGAUCUACAACGAAAUAAAGCCAUAGUGGGCGACAAAACAUGAUAAGACUCUCGGGAUAACAUAAAGAAUUUGCCUCAUUGAAGGGACCUGAAAUUUUGAUAUUUUAUGGCCGGUGAUCAACAAAGCCCAUCAAAUUUAAAUUAAGAUCAAGAUAUGUCAUUUUGCGUUAUUAAAGGCAGACGCUAAAUCUACGGUACGUUAAAUCCACGUGACCAAGAAAGCUUAGAGCGAUAUGGUUUUGUUAGGUCUCUAAGCAUUUCUGGCGAAAGAGAGUAAUGUCUAGAAGCACACCCGCAAAUGAAUAAUAAACGCAAUUUCUCAUGCGUGCUAUGGACGAAAAGCCCAUCCCGCUUGACGUCGUUCCGUUCAAAGUGAAAUAAUAAUCUUUGAAAACUGUAAAGCAAUAUAUAUGCGCGCGCGUGUGUUUGUUUUUUUAUUUAAUACCAUUAAAAAUCUUAAAUUGAUAUCCUAAUGACACAUAUAUCCCAAAUUAAUUCUCAGCUCAUAAAAAAAAAAUCUCAAACUAAUAUUACAUGACAUAUUAAUCUCCAAUUAAUAUCUUUUUUUUGGUAAAGAUCUCCAAUUAAUAUCCGUAUAACAAAAACUCUCAUAAUGUUAUCUCAUGAUUCAUUUACCCUAAAGUAGCUUUCAUCUCACAAAAAUCCCAAACUGUACCUGAGCCAAAUCUAACUUCCAUUAAGAUAUUUGCAUGUGUGUCAACACAUAUGAUAUUCGACAAAAAAAAAACACAUAUGAUAGAUGACGUAACACGGAUCUAAUGUGAAGAAUGAAUAUUUGACAUAGAUUGACGAUCGCAAGACGGUUUUGACAUGGAGAGUAAUAGAUUCAACAUGAAAAAUACACAUGGAUCAACAUGUACCCAUUUUAAGAGGAUAUCGGACAAAAUGCUAAUUGAGGGUAGAUUUUGGUUAGGGGUUUAAGUUUGGGCUUUUUUCUUUUUUUUUUGGUAAAAAUGAAAACUUAUUUAGGAUAAAAGUAUUAUGGGAUACCGAUUUUAGAUUUAUUUAUUUUAGACGAAAAUAAUUUACUUCGAUUCUACGUUAGACUUUUGGACUCCCUUGCAAAAACAGAAGGAAAAAAAAAAGAAUAGAAGAAGACGGAGAUGACAUUACAACUAUGAGUAGGGAGGGAUAACCACACGUUAAGAAAAAUGGAACUAAGUAGCAGACGGUUAUUAUUGCGAUGUCGAAGGGUAUGAUGGAAACAUUUGACUAAGCCAAAGGAAGGCGGGAUUUUCAUUACUAAUAUAUGUUAAAAUGUCCAAUUCAAAAAUUAAAAUUUAUCUGUAGAGAAAGAAUAUAUAUAUAUAUAUAUAAGCUCUAUAAAUAAGUGACAUGGGAUAUUUUAACAAUCCAUUUCACAUACACAUCGAAUUGAAAAUGGCACUUGAAAUUUAACAGGAAGCAUUAUAUGUGAAAUAAACUGAGAUAGAGCCUAAUUAUGUUAUCAUAUUAGAAUGUCUAAACAAAAGUUAAAAAUUAUCAUUGAGAGGGAUUACGUGUAAAUAAAAAACAUGUUAAUUAUUUAGAUAAGCAUCGGGGGAAUGCAUAAUGUACACUGAACACUCUUUUUGCAAAAUUUUCAGCUUACUAAUGUGUAUACUCGCUCAUGACUUAAAAUCGACCAACGAGAUAGGUCAAUGGCCAAAAUUUAAGAAAACGACAUUACUUGCUAUCAAGUAUCAUCCACCAGUAGGUUCAUUAUAUAGCUCUUCUGAACAUGUACAUUUAAUAUACAGAAAUACAGUUGAAUAGCUAAUAAUUGUGUGAUUUUGAAGAUCUGCUUAUGACAUGAUCAAGCGAAAAAAAAAAAAAAAGAAUUAUCAACUGUCGUAAUAGUACCAAAGAAGAUGGUUAAUAAAACUGACAAAUGAUGGUAAUUUUUCAAUUUCUCAGUCAAAAUUUGAGAUCUUAAUUCCUUACGGCUGUCUAAUCAUAUUGUCACACCUUGAAUUUAUUUAGAUACUAGUUCAAGAGUUGAUUAUCAUAGCACUAGCUAUCUCCUACGUUAUAAUUAGCUGUAAACAAUAAUUCUCCAUAUAAAUCAACCGUGGAUCGAUAUCAUUCAUCAUUCCCUAACUAUUUGUACACCCAUUCCUCGUCAUGGGCCAUGUAGCAUAGAAAGUUUAGCAUCCCUUUUUUCCCCUUCUUUUGGCACAUGCUUCAUAUAUUUUUUUAGUUCCGCCCAAGUACAAACAAAAGAUUAAGCACCUCCUAUUAAAAGGAAGAAAUUCCCUCGUCUUGGGCUCCAUAAAAAGCUCACGGAGUAACACGAGAUCUUUUGAAGACCGAUUAAAUACUACUCUACGUACGCUUUUGCAGCUCUCAUGUCCCUAUCACAACAUAUUUGCUGACUUCUAUCGUUAUUCAACCAAAUAAAGCAAAUUCGAAUAGAUGAUGAUGAUGAUGAUGAUGAUGAUCACGAUGACAACGACCAUGAUGGUAAUAGUAAAAAAUUAUAAUUAGGCUAAUUAUUAUCUGAUCGGUUACAGAUCAGGAAACAAUGAGACCUAUAUCAAGUCUCACUAAUUGGACAACCAAAAAGUGCACCUAAAAAAAAUUAAAAAUUAAAAAGGAGUGUAUUGCACGUUCUUCAAGCUCUCGAGCACCAGUCUUGCCUCGUCUAUUCGAUUCCUACUUCGGCUAUAUUCAAACUCUUCCUUAUGUCGUCUAUUCGAUUCCCACUUCGGCUUAAAAGCAUGCACCUUUACAACUCAAUCCUUCGGCUGCUCUGACCCGAUUCCAAUCUUGUGGUGCCGAACCCAGUCGGAGCUCCGCACCGUCCCCGAUGACCCGCCACUGCCGAACCUCCGUCCUUCCUUCUCCUUGAACUCGAGCUGCUCUCGAGCGCAGCACUGGCCUUGAUGGCGAGCGAGCAGAGCUCUUGGAGAGAGAGAGGGGCUCGCGACAUGGAGAGAGGCAAGAGGAAAUAGAGUUGGCCCAGAUGUAGGUCUUCUUUUUCCUGAAUCUGAGGGGCUAUGGAGUCGAUGAACAUGGAGUCUGAGCUGCAGAGGAAGCAGUUAGGGUUUUGGGAGAGGAAGUGAGAGGCCUUCAUGGUUUCAGUGAACUCUUCCAGCCUUCCAUCCACGUGAAUGAGCUUGAGCAUGGAUGGAUAUGAUGAUGACCCGUUAUGGUGAUGGGUGGUCAUGGCGAGGCCGCCACUUCUGGUGAUCUGGGGAGCUGCACAGUUGCCCAUUCUAUGAGAGAGAGAGAGAGAGAGAGAGAGAGAGAGAGAGAGAGAGAUAGAGAUUGGUGUUUGCUUGGCGAAUGUGCUUGAAAUGGGUAGGUAUUAAUAGGGGGAUUAAGGCGCGUUUGACCCACUUUUGACCCUCAACGGUUUGAUUUAUUACCAGUUCCAUGUCAUCCAAGGACGUGUUUAUUCAUUCCGCGUGUGCCAUAAAUGAGAAUUAUUGGUAAUUAGUUGCAUAUUAUGUAAUUCGCACAUGGGCUUGCCAAUAGAAGAAAUUCCCUCAGGAAAAGCAGUGCCGAGGGUUUCGAUCGAAGGACAAUUAUUACGAUACUUCUUGUAAUAAUUGCCCAAAAUCCCCCCUUAUAUAAUAACUCUUAAACCUUGAAAAGUUAUAGAUUAUCUCCUCCCAUUUUGGCACUUGUUGCCCUCUAGCCCCGAACUUUGGAAAUUUACAUACCACCCCCCUAAAUUUUAUGCUUCGUUGAGCUUAGCCGUUCGGCUGAUUGAGAUUUUGUAUUGGCGGGCAUGUGAGAGUUUGUGAGUUUUGGAUUUGGUGGGGUUUAGGUUGAAGAAGAAGAUGAUGAUGGUGAUCACGUUUGCGGGGGAGAGAGAGGGAACAUUGAAAAAAGAAAAAUAAAUGCCAAUUAAAGGACAUCACCAAGUUUCUAAUGAUAUUAAUGCCAAGUCAGCAAUUCUAUCACAGGAACGAGUAGGAUGACAAUUUCAAGAAGCAUUGGGAUGAUUUAGAAUAAUAAUGAUGAUGAUGAUGAUGAUGAUGAUGAUGAUGAUGAUAAUAAUGAUCAUCAUCAUCAUAAAAGGUAGAAGAAUGGUUUUGAUUUCUUAUUUAAGGUAAAGGCACCAGUGGUUCACCUUAUCAAAUCCGCUAAAUCCUUUUUGGCAUACUAACCCCUCUAGGGCACUCGGAGGAAAUAUAAAAAGGUUAAUACUAUUGACAUAUUUAUUUUAUUCCAAAACUAAUUUUUUAACCACAAAUUAAUAUACUUGUAAUAAGUUUAUCAUUUAUUAAUUUAUGUUAAAUUUUAUUAUCAAAUUACUUUAUUGAAUAAUAUGAAGCAGAUAAAUAGUGUAGGAGNNNNNNNNNNNNNNNNNNNNNNNNNNNNNNNNNNNNNNNNNNNNNNNNNNNNNNNNNNNNNNNNNNNNNNNNNNNNNNNNNNNNNNNNNNNNNNNNNNNNUUGAUGGUUUGGGUGAACUCUCGCAGUCAUCAGCUCCAUUCAAAUUUCUUGAGCGUGGAUGGAGAUGAUGACAUCUAACUAUGGCAAAAUAGUGGUCAUGGCAAGCCCACCAUUUCUUGUGAUCUGAGGAGCCGCACAGUUGCCCAUUUUAUAUCUUUUGGGGAGGGGGAGGUUGGUUUUGGGGGCGUGGGUGGGGUGGGAGAGAGAGAGAGAGAGAUUGAUGUUUGUUUGGCCAAGAUGUUUGACACGGGCAGGUAUUUAAUGGGGGAGUAUAGGCGUGUUUCAGAGUUUUGGAUUGACCAAUGACCCAACUUUUUGACCCUCAACAGUAUAAUUUGUACACGAAUACUUUUUUGGGUACUUUGUUCCAAAUCUCCUUGAACUUUACGUCCAUCGCACAAUAAAUUUUAAACCUUAGAAAAUGACACUUUAUCUCUUUCAACUUUAGCACCGUUGGCCCCAUAGCCCUCAGACUUUAGAUAGUUACGCAUUACUUUCCUAACCUUGAAGCUUCGUCGAGCUUGGCCAUGGCAGUCGAGAGUUUCUUCGAGCUCGCGGCUAUGGCCGCUCGGGAUUUAGCACUAGUGGGGUUGUUAGGUUUUAUGGGUUUUGAUGUCAGCAAAUUUCGUCGCUAGACCAACUGGAGAUGAUACUUUGAAGUACAUGGAUGAUUUCGAACCAAAAACAAAAGUAGAAGGGGAGUUUUAAUCUCUUGAUUAAGGUAAAGAGACCCAUAAUGAUAAUUUACUAAUUACUUCCGUUAAAUACUUUCAGUAAAUUAGAUCAUUGGAAAGAUAUUUUUGUUUGCUAAGUCUUUCAAAUACGUAAGGAUAUGCGAAUAAAGAAAAAUCAUAAUUCACCUUCAUAAGGCAGUGUCAUGAAAAAUUGAAAGUUGACGUGACUUUGUUAGUCAUUUGGUACGUUCUCCUUUAUUACUUAGCAUAUUCCAAAAAGGAAGAGAAAAAUGAAGUAAUUUACUCGGAUUACCAUGGGUGGUGAAAUGAAAAACACGAAACAAAAGUUGUCCCAGCGGUCGAUGUACAAAGAAUCAAAAGCCAUUAGCAGACGACAUGGCAAGACUGGCAUCCCAAGCCUUCCCUUUUGACCCUCAGAGGUUGCUGAAAGGUCCACGCAGUGCAAUUCUGAGGAAGCAACCCAUGCUUUUGAAAAUCUAGACUUGACUGAUGACGGGCAAAAUUCUCACGCAGCACUGCUGUUGGGAACUUAAAAUAUAGGGAUAUGUGCCUUAGGAGGUUUCACAGCUUCUCAUCAAAAUAUAAUUAAAUUUUAAAAAUUUCAAAAAAUAAAAUCAAAUUUUUUUAUUAACUCCAUUCAACUUGACUAACGAAAAAUAUCGAUAUAUAAAUUUAUUUCUAUCUUAUGUGGCAUUGACAUGACUAAGGGUGCGUUUGGGAAGGCUUUUGGGGAAAGUCUUUAGAAAAUUGCAAAAACCUUUAAAUUAAAAGUAUUUUCUAAAAUGCAAAGUGUGUUUGGUAAAUUGUAGUUUGAAAGCCCAUUUGAAGUACCUUUGAGCAAAAUGGUGUUUGGGGGAAUUACAUUUACAAAUGGCUUUAGUGAUAAAAAAAUUAUCAAAAGAAAAAUAAAUAAAAAAAUUGACCGACAAGGGCAGUGGCCGACAGACGUCCACUGAAGACCACCGGCGAGGGUCGCCGGACAUCGGGCGACCACUGAAGACCACCGGCGAGGGUCGCCGGACGUCGGGUGACCACUGAAGACCACCGACGAGGGUCGCUGAACGUCGGGCGACCACUGAAGAUCAUCACAGAGGGUCGCCGGACGUCGGGUGACCACUGAAGACCACCGACGAGGGUCGCUGAACGUUGGGCAACCAUUGAAGAUCAUCAUAGAGGGUCGCCGGACGUCGGGUGACCCGGCCGCAACCCAAAUCUAGGGCGGUGAGGUCCCCGCGACCUCGCUGCCCUAGAUCUGGGUCGUGGCGGGGUCACGCGACCUCGCCGCCCCCGGAUUUGGGUCGUGGCGAGGUCGGCGACCCAAACCUCGCCGCGACCCACGGCAAUCGCCGCGACCCAGCGACGGUCGCCUAGGCCACCGCAACCAUGCCGAGCCAUCGGCAGCCACUCACAGCUCAUCGAGCAACACAUCCUUCUUCCCCCGAGAAGAAGAUGAAUAGUACAAUGACGAGGGCAAAAUCGGAAAAAUCGAGAGUAAGUGAGGAUAGUUUUGGAAGAAAAUAAAGAAGAAAUGAACAGUCCACUUGUAUGCCGAGAAAGCUGAAAGCCCAAGGCACCCUCACACCUGCUUUGGGCUUUUAGCCUUGAGAAUGCCAGCUUUGGCCUANNNNNNNNNNNNNNNNNNNNNNNNNNNNNNNNNNNNNNNNNNNNNNNNNNNNNNNNNNNNNNNNNNNNNNNNNNNNNNNNNNNNNNNNNNNNNNNNNNNNNNNNNNNNNNNNNNNNNNNNNNNNNNNNNNNNNNNNNNNNNNNNNNNNNNNNNNNNNNNNNNNNNNNNNNNNNNNNNNNNNNNNNNNNNNNNNNNNNNNNNNNNNNNNNNNNNNNNNNNNNNNNNNNNNNNNNNNNNNNNNNNNNNNNNNNNNNNNNNNNNNNNNNNNNNNNUGAGAAAAGUUGACCAAAGUUCACAAUGAUUGUCUUCUCAGCUAUUUGAUCUCGAAGAGAACAUGGAUGUCAAGUUUAUGGCACUUUGUGCCAAGAUGCACUUUGACAGUAUGAAUAAGGCAAAGAUAAUAUCAACAUUUCUUAAAGUAUUUCAAUACAUUAAACUUGUUAGAAUUUUAAUUUUAAGUUAUGUCUCCAUCUAAUAGCUUGAACUUACAUGGUCCUGCAAUUUCAACAUGGUAUUAUUAGAGGUCCCGACAAACCUUUCGUGAGCCCCUCAAUCAUAGUCAAUUUCCACACCUCAAUCUUAGGUCAAAGUUUAGCCUAUGCAUGUGGGGUUGUUGAAACAUUUAAAUAGUAAAAUACUCCUUCACGUAAUAGCUUGAGCUUUUAGAUCAAUUAGCAGAAGUAUCCACAAUUUCCACCAAUAAAAAACCCACAUAAUAGGAUGCUUCUCCUAUUGUUCUGCAGUCCUGACGGCCCCCCCCCCAAAAAAAAUUAUUUUGCAGUCCUUACAGGAACCAAUGCAAAUGUUUUGAUAGAUCAUAUAACAAAAGUCAAAAAAUGUAAAAAGUAGUUGUUGCUUCUGGCCUGCACUUAUCUAGCUUUCCUCAACCAAGCAUAUGAAAGAUUAUUGAUACAUAGUAACUGAUAUAAGCUUCUUUUUGCAGCAUAAAUUUCAUGAUUACCUUGAUCACAAAAAAUCUUUUUGGCUUCACUGUAAAAUCUGCCAUUGCUUUCAGGAUGGUAUCCAGUAAUACCUGCAACUUGUGAUAAUAGCCACUGACUUCCAGCUUAAGAAAAUCAGAAAAAAGAGUGAGCAUGUUGUAAAUGGAGAACCCCACUUACUGGAGGAACAAGGAUGUGAAAAAGGAAAUAUUUCUGCAUCGAAUCAAUGCCCAAUUUGUAUAUGCAUGUAAAUACACACACAAAAUAAAUGUACAUAUAUAUGCGUGUAUUUUUUUCCUAUGGCCAGAACUCUCUACAUAAAAAAAGCUGAUUCUUUCACCCAGGCCGGCAAAUCAGAUAGUCAGAAUAAUUUAUAACACAUUCAAGAAACCUUGGAUGGGUAGUGGGCUAGGGCCUUCCGUAGCAAGAUAAAGUAUCUAUAUGCUGGCAGGGGACAGAAAAAACGAAUGACUAACCAAUAGCCACAAGCAAAAAAUCUAUAGGUUGAUGCAGGCAUUGUAUAUCAUUCCACUCUUACAUCAGUUGAUGAAUGUGCUAAAACUAACCGGGAAUCAGCAGUUAUUGAUAGAAAUGCAAUCAUGGAUGACAAAAUGAGGCCGCAAAUAGGAAAUUGACACAAGUAUAAUAGAGAACUGUGCAACUUAUUUCUUAACUUAUAGGAAAUCGGGCACAUAUUGAACCUGCACUCCAGAUAAAGGCAUCGCAAGGCGCACCAUCAAAGAGUCUAGAGAGCAUCUGGNNNNNNNNNNNNNNNNNNNNNNNNNNNNNNNNNNNNNNNNNNNNNNNNNNNNNNNNNNNNNNNNNNNNNNNNNNNNNNNNNNNNNNNNNNNNNNNNNNNNNNNNNNNNNNNNNNNNNNNNNNNNNNNNNNNNNNNNNNNNNNNNNNNNNNNNNNNNNNNNNNNNNNNNNNNNNNNNNNNNNNNNNNNNNNNNNNNNNNNNNGCCUCAUAAUCUGGGCUUUCUUACACGACCAAAUUUCUGCCAAAGGGAAUAAGCAAAGCCCUAAGUUGGUGAGAAUGGUUUUUUGCAAAUGACCUGAAAGAAAAACGGAGAAAUGCCCAGAGGCAAGAAUAGCCAGAACAGAACAACAUACCGUGACCAACAUCAGUCAUCUCAAUAACAACAUUAAAGAAAGGAACAUUUGAAUCCACAACGCUUUCAUAAGCAGACAAACUAGUGGCCCAUCAUGCAAAGUCAUUUGCAUCGAAACUAAUCAUAAACCAGACUUGAUCAAAAUAGCUGAAAAAUGAUCGGGUUUUGUAAGAACAACAUUGUAGCAAACGAUGCACUUUCAUCCGUAAAAUGUUCUCUUAUGUAGGAGAGGCCAAGCUUUCUUGCGUUGCUGCGCUUAGAAUCAUAAGCUCUAAGUACUUUCUCCCCCAAAACAAAGAUGUGACCAUGCAAGCUCAAGAAAUAAAAUCGAACCUGACUUGCGGUCGCAGAUUUAGGGCUUCUCGAGGGACCGCUUCGAGCAAAGUGGAAAGCAAGUCGUCGACGGAAGAUUAGACAAGAGGGCAGGGCGAUUGUAACAUCCCGGGCCCCACUGUGUAAUAUUGUCCGCUUUGGGUCACCCGCCCUGGCACGGACGGACCGCCAUCCCAGCCACGAUAUUUUCCCUCACGGCUUUAAAACGCGUUACACAGAUUAGAGAGACCCAAGCCUUAUAAGCUAACCAAGACCUCCCUCCCUAGGCGAUGUGGGACAAGAAAGGAGGUUGUUACACUCUCCACCUCUUAACAGAAUAGCGUCCUCACUAUGGCCCCACGGGCAUCAGAACAACAUUCGAGCUGUGGCCCACACGCGGUCGGGAGUCGGCUCCGAUACCACUUGUAACAUCCCAGGCCUCUCUGUGUAAUAUUGUCCGCUUUGGGUCACCCGCCCUGGCGCGGACGAACCGCCAUCCGAGCCACGGUCUUUUCCCUCACGGCUUUAAAACACGUUACAUAGAUUAGAGAGACCCAAGCCUUAUAAGCUAACCAAGACCUCCCUCCCUAGGCGAUGUGCNNNNNNNNNNNNNNNNNNNNNNNNNNNNNNNNNNNNNNNNNNNNNNNNNNNNNNNNNNNNNNNNNNNNNNNNNNNNNNNNNNNNNNNNNNNNNNNNNNNNNNNNNNNNNNNNNNNNNNNNNNNNNNNNNNNNNNNNNNNNNNNNNNNNNNNNNNNNNNNNNNNNNNNNNNNNNNNNNNNNNNNNNNNNNNNNNNNNNNNNNNNNNNNNNNNNNNNNNNNNNNNNNNNNNNNNNNNNNNNNNNNNNNNNNNNNNNNNNNNNNNNNNNNNNNNNNNNNNNNNNNNNNNNNNNNNNNNNNNNNNNNNNNNNNNNNNNNNNNNNNNNNNNNNNNNNNNNNNNNNNNNNNNNNNNNUCCUAUCUAUAUUAUUUUAGAGUGUUUUGUGGUAUUAAUUUAAUAUAAAAAUGUCAAGUCACGUCAAAUACCGAGAAUACGCCGACGAAGAAAAUUCCUGAUCACUCGGCAUUGCCCCAAAAGAAAAAGAAAGAUAAAAAGUGAGUCACUCGGAUUCCCAUGUGCAAUUAGGCGAAAGACACGACACGACACAAGAGGUUGUCCCAAGCCUUUGUUUCUUUCCCGUGCAUUGCAAUGCAAUUCCCAGGAAGCAACCAAUAUGCGGGACCCACGUUGAAAACUCUCUAGGAUUUGAUCGAUGAGGUUGACAAUUCUCACGCGGCACUGCUAUGGGAAACUUGUAAUAGGGGCACUUUUGCUUUGCCUUGUAAUCGGACUCCAAUUAUUAGGCAGGAAAUAUGUACGUCCUCGGUCCUUUCUUUUCUUUUCUUUUCUUUUUUUGUUCAUCCUCACAAUGUCAUAACUUAAGACUUAAGAGAUAGUAACAUAAAUAAUCAUUGCAUUCUAAUCUAAAUGAUCGUGAUAGUAACAUAUUGUAGUCCUUAAACUUUAAAUUUGUUUAAUGUGAUCAUUGAACUAUAACUCAAUAUGCAAUUUGGUAUCCAAGUUAUUACUUUGUUCAAUAUGAUCCUUAAAUUUUAGUCAAAUAUGUAAUUUAGUCCUUCAAUUUUUAAUUUGUUCAAUAUGAUUCAUAAAAUUUUGAUAUACAGUCAACUUAAUCAUUGAACUAUAUGAAAAUAUAUCAUGAUGUUCUUCUAUAGUACAAGUUUAGCGACAAUAUUGAAUAUUUUCAUAUAGUUUCUACACUAAAUUGAAUAUGUAUCAUAAAUUUAUGGACUACAUUGAACACGUUGAAUGUUCAGGAACCAUCAAAGAUUACAUAAACAAAUUAAAAUUUUAGAUACCACAUUACACAUUGGGUCAAAAUUCAAGAACUAUUUAUAUCAUUUUCCUUAAAUUAAAAUUUUUCCUCGAUCUUAGAUUAAGGAGAAGCUACGAACUAUAUAUGUCGUUCUGUAAACUUUUACUAAGAAAAAGUCAUCAUCAAGACAAUUUUUAUUCGUUAUGAUGAUGGGUUGGAAUCAUCAAGUGAAAAUCCAACACGCGGGUCACUUUUUUGCUAUGGAAAUUUGAUUGAUCUGAGAAAAUCACAUCAAACAAUGCAACUUUUGACAAAACAAAGAUUCAUAAAGAACGUCAUGCUCGAUCUGCAGAAAAUAUUUGAUUCCUAUCACAAGAUGAUCUUUUGGUCUCGGCACAAAAUUCUGGACUUUAUUAACCUUAAAUUGAUACAAUUCUUCUGGCAUUGCUUCGACCUAGUUUUUUUCCUCUACUACUAAUUAGAAUCGGAGUCCUUGCUAGGGCAUUAGUUUCAUCUAUAUAGGGGGUAAUUAAUCGAUAAAAUACCGACCAAUUGUUUCACAUGCAAAAUUUUCCCUAAUGAGCUGACCUAAAAUUAUUGAAACUUCUAUGGAUGGCGAUCAACUAGUCCAUAUUAAAUUCAUAUUAUGAUCUAGAUUUUUCAUUUUGCUUAAUUCCAAGCAGCCACACGAUCAUUCGUUUAGUACGUCCUCGUGCCCUCGUUGCCUUUCAGUUGAAAAUAUAAGAAUAACCCAAUUCUAGAUAGUAGAUAUAAAGUCCACAUGACGUUAACUUUACGGUACCAAACUCAAAAAUAAAGCGUCUUCUUUUUAGGUCUAGAAGCAUUUCUGGCCGAAAAGAAAAAUGUCUAGAGGCAGCCGAUAUUGAAUGAUUUAAAAGAUUUGUCAGCAUAGCAUGCCGUGGACCGAAGCCUACCUCACUUGACUUUGUUUCGUUCAAAGUGAAAAAAACAAUAGAACUAAAAAAACAGUCGAUAUGUAUUUUGGGAAAAUCGCCACAUUCAUUGAAGUGAUAUUUCACUUAAAUUCUACCUUAGACUUUUGGAUUUGUGCGCAUAUAUAUAUAUAUAUAUAUAUAUAUAUAUAUAUAUAUAUAUAUAUGUAUGUAUAUAUAUGUAUAUAGGGAGAUGACAUUACACAUGACAAGUGAAAUAAAUUGGGAUAGAAUAUGAUUUUGAUAAUACAUUAGAAUGUUUAACUUAAGAGUUUGAAUUUAUAGACGGGGGAUGUCACGUGAAUAUAAAGAACUUCUAAACCCCAUAAAUAAGCUAAACAAAUUUAACAAUAACCAUACAUAUAGAAAAGUGGAACUAAGUAGCAGACAAUUAUUAUUGUGACAUAGACAUCAUACUUAUCAAGAUAUAAUGGGAACAAUUGAUAUAUAUUGUGGGAAAAUGGUCACAUUCAUUAAAGUGAUGUGAUAUUUCACUUAAAUUCUACCUCAGACUGGACUUGUGUGGAAAAGAUAUAUAUAUAUAUAUAUAUAUAUGGAGACGAUUACACGUAAAAUUCAACAAAUGAGAAGGCUAUACAUGUGAAAUAAAUUGGGAUAGAACAUAGUUCUAAUACAAUGUUACAAUGUUUAAUCUGAAAGCUUAAACUUAUUGAUAGAGAAAAACCACUUAUAUGUAAAGAGCUUAUAAACUCUGUAAAUAAGUUAAAUGACUUGAAUAAUAACUAUACAUAUGGAAAAGUGGAACUAAGUGGUAGACAGUUAUCAUUGUGAUGUAAACAUCAUACUUAUGAAGGUAUAAUGGGAACAUUUGAGUGAGAUGAAAGGAAGGUAAGUAUUCCAUUAAUAAUAUAGAUCGAUGAAAGAUAUAUGGAUAAUGUCCAAUGAAUUCUUAUUUUUCAAAAUUUCCAGCUUACUAAUUUGUAUACUUGUUCAUCAAUUAUGAAAUGACAAACCAUAGAGCUCAAUGGCCAAAAGUGAAGGAAACAACAUAGCUCUCUAUCUAAUAUCAUCCACGAGUAGGUUAAUUAAAUUAGCUUUUCUUGAACACGUAUAUUUUCUUUUAGAGAAAUACAAUUCAAUAGCUAUAACUUGUGUGAUUUCAAAAAUGUGCUUAUGUGUCUCUCAAUAAGGCUACAAUUUAUUCUAUCAAGCUUUAAAUUAAGAGGAAAAAACAUUAAUCAACCAUCGUAGAAGCGAAAAAGAAGGUGGUUAACAUGAUUAACAUAUGAUGGGUAAAUUUUGCAUUCGCUAUUGUAAGUCUAAAUUUGAGAUUUGUGCGAUUGCCUAAUCAAACCGUCACACUUUAAACUCAAUUAGAUAGUAAUUUGAGAAUCAAUUAUCACAGCACUAGUGGUCUCUUUAAUUAGCUAUAUUAAACAUUAAUUCUUCACAUGAACCAAAUUGAGAAUGGAAGUUCUUAUUUUUUCAAUUUCCUCUUUUAUUGGCCAAAUCAUCAACUGUUCCCAGCCUCUGCAACCCCAUUCCUUAUCAUGGGCCAUAUAUCAUAGAAAGAUUAGUAGCUCUAGUCCUUUUCUUAAGCACUCCAUAUAAAAGUGAAGAAAUUCCCUCGUCUUAGGCUACAUAAAAAGUUCAAGAAAUGGAAUAUUACGAGAUCUUUUCAAGCUUCGCACGCUUUUACACCUCUCAUGUCCUUAUCACGACAUAUAUUGCUGGCUUCUAUCAUUAUUUUACCAUAUAAAGCUACUUUAAUCUAAAACAAUAGCAACAGCUACGACGACGACCACAACAAUAAUAAUAAUAGUUAUAAUGACUGUGAAUAAUGGUGAUAUUUAAUAAUUGAAAGAAUUUUUAAUAGGCUAAUCAUAAUCAAAUUGAUCACAAAUCUAAAAACAAUUAGACGAAUAUUAAGUGUCCCAAAAGAGAGUUGUUAAUUUUAGGACGACCAAAUAAAGAGUUGUUCACACAAAAAAAAGGGAAAGAAAAAAAAAAGAGUUUCUGGCAUAUUCUUCAAGCUCUUCCUUCUGUCAUAUAUUCGAUUCCCUCUUCAUCUCAUACUCCUGCACUUUCACAACUCAAUUCUUCGGCUGCUCUGAACCAAUUCUAGUCUCGCGGCAUCGAACCUGAUGGGAGCUUGACACCUCCGUUGACCCGCCAGUGACGAAACCUUGNNNNNNNNNNNNNNNNNNNNNNNNNNNNNNNNNNNNNNNNNNNNNNNNNNNNNNNNNNNNNNNNNNNNNNNNNNNNNNNNNNNNNNNNNNNNNNNNNNNNNNAGAGGCAAGAGGAAUAGAGUUGGCCCAAACAGAGGUCUUCUUCUUCGUGGAUUUGGGGGACUAUGGAGUCGAUGAACAUGGACUCUGAGCUGCAGAGGAAGCAGUUUGGGUUCUGGGAGAGGAGGUGAGAAGCCUUGAUGGUUUGGGGGAACUCUUGCAGUCUUCCGUCCAUGUGAAUGACCUUGAGCGUGGAUGGAGAUGAUGAUGGCCAGCUAUGGUGAAAAGUGGUCAUGGCAAGGCCACCAUUUCUUGUGAUCUGAGGAGCCGCACAGUUGCCCAUUCUAUAUCUUUUGGGGAGGGGGAGGUUGGUUUUGGGGGCGUGGGUGGGGUGGUUAGAUAGAGAGAGAGAGAGAGAGAGAGAUUGAUGUUUGUUUGGCCAAGAUGUUUGACAUGGGCAGGUAUUUAAUGGGGGAGUAAAGGCGUGUUUCAGAGUUUUGGAUUGACCAAUGACCCAACUUUUUGACCCUCAACAGUAUAAUUUGUACACAAAUACUUUUUUGGGUACUUUGUUCCAAAUCUCCUUGAACUUUACGUCCAUCGCACAAUAAAUUUUAAACCUUAGAAAAUGACACUUUAUCUCUUUCAACUUUAGCAUUGUUGGCCCCAUAGCCCUCAGACUUUAGAUAGUUACGCAUUACUUUCCUAACCUUGAAGCUUCGUCGAGCUUGGCCAUGGCAGUCGAGAGUUUCCUUGAGCUCGCGGCUAUGGCCGCUCGGGAUUUAGCACUGGUGGGGUUGUUAGGUUUUACGGGUUUUGAUGUCAGCAAAUUUCGUUACUAGACCAACUGGAGAUGAUACUUUGAAAAGUACAUGGAUGAUUUUGAACCAAAAACAAAAGUAGAAGGGGAGUUUUAAUCUCUUGAUUAAGGUAUAGAGACCCACAAUGAUAUUUUACUAAUUACUUUCGUUAAAUACUUUCAGUAAAUUAGAUCAUUUGAAAGAUAUUUUCGUUUGCUAAGUCUUUCAAAUACGUAAGGAUAUGCGAAUAAAGAAAAAUCAUAAUUCACCUUCAUAAGGCAGUGUCAUGAAAAAUUGAAAGUUGACGUGACUUUGUUAGUCAUUUGGUACGUUCUCCUUUAUUACUUAGCAUAUUCCAAAAAGGAAGAGAAAAAUGAAGUAAUUUACUCGGAUUACCAUGGGUGGUGAAAUGAAAAACACGAAACAAAANNNNNNNNNNNNNNNNNNNNNNNNNNNNNNNNNNNNNNNNNNNNNNNNNNNNNNNNNNNNNNNNNNNNNNNNNNNNNNNNNNNNNNNNNNNNNNNNNNNNNNNNNNNNNNNNNNNNNNNNNNNNNNNNNNNNNNNNNNNNNNNNNNNNNNNNNNNNNNNNNNNNNNNNNNNNNNNNNNNNNNNNNNNNNNNNNNNNNNNNNNNNNNNNNNNNNNNNNNNNNNNNNNNNNNNNNNNNNNNNNNNNNNNNNNNNNNNNNNNNNNNNNNNNNNNNNNNNNNNNNNNNNNNNNNNNNNNNNNNNNNNNNNNNNNNNNNNNNNNNNNNNNNNNNNNNNNNNNNNNNNNNNNNNNNNNNNNNNNNNNNNNNNNNNNNNNNNNNNNNNNNNNNNNNNNNNNNNNNNNNNNNNNNNNNNNNNNNNNNNNNNNNNNNNNNNNNNNNNNNNNNNNNNNNNNNNNNNNNNNNNNNNNNNNNNNNNNNNNNNNNNNNNNNNNNNNNNNNNNNNNNNNNNNNNNNNNNNNNNNNNGUUUGGGGGAAUUACAUUACAAAUGGCUUUGGUGAUAAAAAAAUUAUCAAAAGAAAAAUAAUAAAUAAAUUGACCGACAAGGGCAGUGGCCGACAGACGUCCACUGAAGACCACCGGCGAGGGUCGCCGGACGUCGGGUGACCACUGAAGACCACCGACGAGGGUCGCUGAACGUCGGGCGACCACUGAAGAUCAUCACAGAGGGUCGCCGGACGUCGGGUGACCACUGAAGACCACCGACGAGGGUCGCUGAACGUUGGGCAACCAUUGAAGAUCAUCAUAGAGGGUCGCCGGACGUCGGGUGACCCGGCCGCAACCCAAAUCUGGGGCGGUGAGGUCCCCGCGACCUCGUUGCCCUAGAUCUGGGUCGUGGCGGGGUCACGCGACCUCGCCGCCCCCGGAUUUGGGUCGUGGCGAGGUCGGCGACCCAAACCUCGCUGCGACCCACGGCAAUCGCCGCGACCCAGUGACGGUCGCCUAGGCCACCGCAACCAUGCCGAGCCAUCGGCAGCCACUCACAGCUUCGAGCAACACAUCGGCCUUCAACGGAGAAGAAGAUGAAUAGUACAAUGACGAGGGCAAAAUCGGAAAAAUCGAGAGUAAGUGAGGAUAGUUUUGGAAGAAAAUAAAGAAGAAAUGAACAGUGCCACUUGUAUGCCGAGAAAGCUGAAAGCCCAAGGCACCCUCACACCUGCUUUGGGCUUUUAGCCUUGAGAAUGCCAGCUUUGGCCUAAUGGGAAUUUCAAAGUUGUUCCCAAACACCCUAGCUUUAGCCCAAGUAUCUUUAGAAGCCCAAAGCCCUUUGCAAAGUUAAUUCCAAACGCACCCUAAAACAAGAAGAACAAGACUAAAACAAUGUCAUUUUUGUCCAAAUUAAAAUUUAAAACAAAUUAAAUUAGAUUAAAAUAAAAACUAAAUUAAAAGAUAUUUCCUUAUUAGAUAUCAAAUAUGACCGGAUAAAAACAUUACUCUGCAAAAUGAUUGGCAUUUCUGCCUAAUGUUGUGGAAGCUUCUUGAGAAAAGUUUNNNNNNNNNNNNNNNNNNNNNNNNNNNNNNNNNNNNNNNNNNNNNNNNNNNNNNNNNNNNNNNNNNNNNNNNNNNNNNNNNNNNNNNNNNNNNNNNNNNNUAGUUACAUUUUGUUCUUCCAAACAAAGUAAAUCUAAUCUACAUACAUCCUCUUACUAUAAAUUCAUUUCCCAUUACUCUAUCUACAAAGUAAAGAAUCUGCCACAAUGGCUAAUAUAUUUAAACAAAAACAGUAAUUUAGCAACUUCAUCUAGAAAGAAACUAGAUUAUCUACAAAGACCUUUUUUGCUUCAAUUACAUAAACAACAAAAUUAAGAUGUCCGUGACCUGGAACUUCCAUUGAGAAUAGGAAUGCUUAUCUCAAUGUAUACUAGAUAAUUAUGAUGGAACUCCAGCUACCAGUCUGACAAAACAUCAAGAAGUAACACGAAAGAAAGCACUCAUGUACCAAUAAAUUGGUUGAUGGUUUUGUGAGAGUCUAUGAUAAGUUCUUUGUCUGCUCUUCUUCUUUUCUGUUGUCUGUUGUUUUGUUUAAAGUACAAUUCAGCUAUGCUUUGUUCUGUCAGGAUUGGGUGGUGUUUCGCCAAGGAGUAGAAUGUGGCUUUCAAGGGAGAGUCAAUAAACAGGGAGGUAUGUCAUAUAAAGAAAAUAUAGUCCUCUGUUUCUACUUCCCUUUGCAUUGCAAAAUGAACUUUCUUUUGUGCUUGUAGAUCCCAGUCUGUUUGCGAUAAAAAAAUAUGCGCUAUCUGCUUCCAUUAUGGAUAUCACUCAUGUCAUGUGGGAUAUGAACCUAAAUUAAUUUGUCAAGUCGUCGUGUCUUAUUUGUUGUUACAUGUGAAAUUGCUUCUUUUCAGAGACACGAAAAUCAAAAGCGGGGUACUUAAACUUAUGUGCAAGAUCUAACUUCAAUUCACAGCCUUCCGCUCUCCAGUAAAAAGGAAUCACAUUUCCAUGAGAAACAAGUAUACUCCUGACAGCUCACAUCACCUAAUUAGCACAAAAAGACGGCACAUUUUGCAGCACUUUUUCUCUCUCGCGAGCAUCUUCGCAGUUCCUUCAUUCUAGCCUAAUCCUAGAAAGAGAGAAAAGAUGCUCUCUCAGAAGUCAAGCUGCCGAAUCUCUUCUUUUCUUAGCAAACACCAAUUACACAAAUCCAACGGCAACUCUCCGAUUCUUGUUCAGCUUCCUAAAUCCAACUCCACCAGACGACUCACCCCAUUUCCCGAAAUCAUCCAAAGCUAAAGAAGACGACGCAGAGAGACCCAUCAAUCAUUUUAGCUAUAAAUUUCGGCAGAACAAGAACUGCCGCACUCGCUCGACAUGAAAACCAGACAACUCGCAGGAAACAAAACAAAAACGAAAACCCAGGAAAUCAAGAAGCAGCGGAUCAAACCUAUAUAGAGCGUAAUCGAGGACUAUAGGGGAGAAGCGAACCUUGAAAUUCCACUGGAAGCUGUAUCGGAGCUCGGGGUUGAGAGCUGACUCGUCCUCCUCCUCGGCGUCGCUGGCAACAAUCGACAGAUUCGGCGGCGACUAGGGUUCUGGUGUUGAGACGAGGGGUGGCGACGAAGACGGCGAGGCGGAGGUGCGUCGACAGACGGCAACGAUCGACUGAUUCGGCGGUGGCUAGGGUUCCGGCGGUCGUGAGCGUAGGCACAGUCGUGUCAUCGGAGAAUAAGGUGGAUCCGAGAAAGAUGAGAACGUGUUUGUGUUUAUUGUUUAUGUUUGGAUUCGGAGUUAUCGUGUUUCGGGUCGAACAAUGUUCCGACCCUACCCGACCCUAAACAUAUCUUUAUUGCUUGUUUUAUGUCUAUGUCUCAAACAGUAUCAAGACCCAAAACAAGUAUACUACUUGUUUCGUGUUCAGGUCGUGUUCGGGUCGGUUCGGGUCGGGUCGGGUCGGGCUUUUUUGACAACCCUACCAUUAAGGUACCAUCUAGGAAAAACACAGCAUCAUCUGCGAAGAAUAAAUGAGAUAAAGUGGGACACCAUUGAUUCAAUUUGAUGCCUUUGAGUAAGCCCAUAUCCAGAGCAUUCCGAAUGAGAAGUGAUAGGAGGUUAGCAAUGAGAAUGAAUAAGUAAGGGGAUAAAGGAUCACCCUGCCUAAGCCCUCUGGUAGGAUGAAAGCUCUGUAGAUAAUUACCAUUCAUUUUGACACACAAAGUUGUAGUUGAGAUGCACUGCAUGAUUAGCUAUACCCAACGAGACUGAAAGCCUAGACAAAGUAGGUAAUCCUGAAGAAAAUCCCAUUCUAUAUGAUCAUAGGCCUUCUGCAUAUCAACUUUGAGCACAGCUUGAAAAUGACGCUUUCUUUUUCUAAUUUUGAUAUGAUGAAUGACUUCCUAUACGAUAAGAACAUUAUCUUGAAUCUGUCUUCCAGCAACAAAAGCACUUUGUUCCUCAUAAAUUAGAGCAGGCAGUAGGGGUUUUAACCUGUUAGCGAGUACUUUAGAAAUUUUUUUAUAAGCAUAGUUGCACAAGCUAAUAGGUCGAUAUUGAUCCAAGCAUUAUGGGUUUGGGGUUUUGGGGAUCAACGUUAUAGCAGUUCUAUUUAAGUCCACCGGUAAUAAUCCAGAAUUGAAAAAUAAUUGAACUGCCCAAUAAAUGUCUUCCUUAAGAACCUCCCAAUGAGAUUGAUAGAACAUACUGUUGGAGAAAUCUUCUUGAAGUAUUUUGAAGUUGACAAAUUGUUUCUAUCAGUCUAGUUUGAAGGCUUGCAGACUCUGCUAUUUAAAGUCUGAAGACCUUGGGACAGCCAAACUCAAGACUCAAAGUCUAUCUUCAUUGACAGUCUCUAAUCCGUUGAAGAAAGGUUAUCCAGAACUUGAUGUUUCGUUGAGGAUUUAACCUUAUCAACUGGAGAAGAUCUCAUGGCUGGAGAAGACAUAAACGGAUUCCUUUGAUUGAUCGAAGAUUGAUUCGAUAAUUGAAGAUCCGGUGAUUGCCUAAAUAUUAUUGGAAGGUUCUACUUAUGGAAACCGAGAUCCUGAUUGUAUGGGCGAACAGGAUUGAUGGGCUAUCAACACGUUCCAUUUAUAGCUUGGACAAACUUCCUAAUUGAUUCCGUCCAACGAGUAGAUUGGAGGAAUUCCUUUGGUAAGUGCCAACGGGUAUGAUGGCAUAAAGGAGUAUAUAAGGAAGACUGUCUUAGUUGUUCAAGGUGUGCGCGAUAGAAGAAUUCCAAAGUCUGAAGCUCCUUUUUGUUUAGACAAAUCCUUUGAGAGAAUACUUGUAUACGAAAGAGAGAGUCUAUAUUUGUGAGAAAUCUUGAGGAGGUGUGGUAGAACAUCUACACUGUGGAAUCAAGGCAAAGCUGUGCUGUAACCUCUCUCUUGUUCAUAGUGGAAUCCAGCCAAUAGGCUGUCAGUGAAGAAGAGUGGACGUAGGCUUGAUAUAAGCCGAACCACUAUAAACCGCGUGUUCAAUUUUCUCUUCUCUCAGUCUUACUUUGAUUAUCGUUUCAUCCAAUUGUCUAGUAUUGUGCAAUUGCUUGAGAAAAAAUUCUUUAUAUACCUAUUCACCCCCCUCUAGGUACUCAUACUAGCAAUAUCAAUUAGUAUCAGAGCCUGUGUACUUACUUUAUUUGAAGUGUUUUACUUCGUAGUUAAAGAUCCAUGGCUAGUAUGCUAGCACCAGGGUUGAUGGAAGGGCAAAGCAAUACCAGACCACCCUACUUUGAUGGAAAGGAUUACAACAUCUGGAAGAACAAGAUGAAAGCUUUCCUUCGAUCAAAGGAUCCUCUGGAAUGGGACGUUGUAGAAAAAGGAAUUACUCCUACCACUGCAUCAGUCUCUGAAAGAGGAAAAGAAACUGAUGAAACCAGCGGAAUGUCUCAGGAAGAAAUAAUCAAGAGACAAACACUCGAUGCAAAAGCAAUUUACUCCUUAUAUUGUGCUUUAUCACCAACUGAAUAUAAUAGAAUAUCUUCUUGUGGUAUAGCAAAAGAAGUUUGGGACAGAUUGCAUAUCACCUAUGAAGGAACAGAUCGAGUGAAGGAAACUAGAAUCAACAUUCUUCUCGGUCAAUACGAAGCCUUCAGAAUGAAACUAGGAGAAUCUAUAUCUGACAUGUUUAGUCGUUUUACAGAUAUUGUGAAUAGUCUUGAAAAUCAAGGUCAACCAACUUCUGAUCCCAUGAAGGUAAACAAGCUACUGCGUGGACUCUCCAGGGAUUGGAAUCACAUAAAGACUUCGAUAAGAGAGACGCAAAGAAUUAUGCCACUAUCUGUCGACGAGCUAAUUGGAACUCUUUAGUCUUAUGAAGUGGAAUGGAUCAAUGAAGAUGAAGAUCCAAAAGGUAAGAAAUCUAUUGCAUUAAAAUCAAAUGAUGAUUCUGAUGAUACAGAUUCUGAAGAAGAUAUGGACGAUGAAGAGCUUGCUCUCAUGAUAAGAAGAUUUAGAAAACUGAAUAGAAAAGGAAGAAGGUUCAACUCAAAGAAACAAAGCUUUCAAAGACAGCAGACCAAGUCUGUUGAUGAUGAAGAACCAAACAAAGACAUAGUCUGCUUUGAAUGUAAGAAAAAGGGACACAUCAGACCCAACUGUCCUCUUCUGAAGAAGAAGAAAGGAAAAGCUGAAAGAUUUCGAAAAGCUCUCAAAGCCGAAACCUGGAGUGACACAGAGUGUGAAGAAAGUGAUAAUGAAUAUGCCAAUCUAUGUCUGAUGGCACAAUCAGACUCAGACUCUGGAUCAGACUCAGACAGUGAAUUUGAGGCAAGUGAUAUUAAAAUUCCUGUCAAAGUUUCUAAAUAUAUUGAUGAAUUAUGUUUUAGUCUUAAGACUUCUCUCAAAAGAAUUUCCGAACUGAAAAAGGAAAACUCAGCUCUAAAACAAAAGGAAAAUGUUUUAGUAGAAAGAGUUAAAAGUCUAGACUUGACUGUUUCCAAUCUUAAAGAAAAUGGAGAUAAUCUUUCAAAAGAAAAUGUCUUUUUAAAAACAGACUUAUCAAAUAUAUCAAAGAAAUUUUCAAUAGGGUCUGAAAAACUUGAGAAAAUUCUUUCAGCACAAAGACCUUACUUCAGUAAGUCCAGUCUAGGAAUGUCAGAAGAAACAAUUCCCCUGAUUAAUUUUCCUAAAGUAAAAGAAAGAAUUAAGAAAAGACUCUCGAGAGAGGUUUACAAAAAUCACUUCAAGAAAGUUUUUGUAAAAUCUGUAGGAAGAAAUGCUCUAAAAUGUUCAAAAUGCAACAGUCCGGAUCACUUUGAGAAAGAGUGUCCUAUGGUUUGAAAACCUGUUAAGAGAAUAUGGGCUAAUACUGCUUAUGUUACUAACACAAAAGGACCCAAGAAAGUUUGGGUACCAAAGAAAGCUUGAGACUCUUUUUUAAAUGCAGGUCACCGUCAAGAAAAAGGUAAAGUGGUAUCUUGACAGUGGAUGCUCAAGACACAUGACAUGAGACUCAAAUUGUUUUAUAAAGAUUGCUCAAGUAAAUGGUGGAAAAGUUUCAUUUGGAGGAAACAACAAAGGGAGUAUUGUGGGAUUUGGAACUGUGAAAAUUGGAAAUCUCACAAUAAGUAAUGUUUCCUUAGUGGAAGGACUCAAUUACAAUCUUCUCAGCAUUAGUCAAUUGUGUGAUACUGGUUUCAAGAUCUUUUUUCAAGAAGGAAUAUGUUCUGGAAUCAGUAAAGACUCUACUCAGUCUUUCAUGGGUCGUAGACAUGGAAACAUUUAUCUUCUGGAUGUGAAACCAAAUGAAUCGCAAUGUUUUAUCUCAAUUCAAGACGAAGCAAGCUUAUGGCACAGAAAGCUUGGUCAUGUCAACAUGAAGCAAUUAGCCAAAAUCUCAUCAAAGCAGCUUGUUCGAGGACUACCCAAAUUACCUUAUCAAAAGACUGAUCCAUGCACUCCAUGUAUUCUGGGAAAGCAGGUAAGAAAUUCAUUCAAGCCAAUAAAUCAUGUCUCUACUAAUCAUGUACUACAGUUGCUGCAUAUGGAUCUUUUCGGACCAACCAGAACACAGAGUAUUGGAGGUAAGAAAUAUUGCCUAGUAAUUGUGGACGAUUACUCUCGUUUUACUUGGGUAUAUUUCCUUGCAAGUAAGUCUGAAACCUUCUCGUAUUUUGAAAAAUUUGCUAAAAAUGUUCAAAAUGAAAAAGGAUGUGUUAUCUCAAGUAUAAGAACAGAUCAUGGAGGUGAAUUUGAAAAUCAAGAUUUUACAAAAUUUUGUGAUGAAUCUGGCUUUAAUCAUGUGUUCUCCUCUCCAUAUACUCCUCAGCAAAAUGGAGUUGUGGAAAGAAAGAACAGAUCUCUUCAGGAAAUGGCUAGAACUCUUUUAAUUGAAAGCAAGAUUUCUUCACGAUUUUGGGCUGAAGCUGUUUCAACAGCAUGUUAUAUCAUCAAUAGAGUCUUCUUAAGACCUAUUCUAGAGAAAACCCCUUACGAAUUGUUCAAAGAUAAGAAGCCUAUUGUUUCAUACUUUCAUGUAUUCGGUUGCAAAUGUUUUAUAUUGAAAAAUGCAAAAGAUCGAGUUGGUAAGUUUGAAGAAAGAUCAGAUGAAGGUAUCUUCCUUGGAUAUUCUACAUCAAGCAAAGCCUUCAGAGUCUAUAACAAGAAGAGCCAGUCUAUGGAGGAGUCAAUGAAUGUCAAAUUCCAAGACUCAACGCAAGAUGAAUCAAGUCAGACUCAUCAAGAAGAGUCUGAACCUGCUUCAGAUCUUCCAAAGCUUACAUCUCAAGAAGCAUCUCAGACUCUGGAAAACCAGCUUCAAGAUGUUCAUGAAGAUCCAAACAAAGAAAGAGAUCAUCAACUAGAUAGAUCAACGAGUAACUGGAAGCAUAAGUCCAGUCAUCCCAAAGAUAUUAUAAUCGGCGGAAUUAAUGAAGGAAUUCGCACCAGAUCCAAAAGGCGAGAAGAGUCUAGUGCUGUGGCUCUCGUUUCUGAAAUUGAACCAAAAAGCAUAGACGAAGCUUUAUCUGAUGAAAGCUGGAUUGAAGCUAUGCAAGAAGAGCUCAGACAGUUUAGCAUUAAUGAUGUCUGGGAAUUGACAUCCAAACCGAAAGGUAAAACUGUUAUUGGAGCUAAAUGGGUGUUCAGAAACAAGAUGAAUGAGAAAGGAAAAGUCGUACGAAACAAAGCAAGACUCGUGACCAAGGGAUAUACGCAAGAAGAAGGAAUAGACUAUGAUGAGACUUACGCUCUAGUAGCAAGGUUAGAAGCUAUUCGACUAUUACUUGCGUUUGCUUGUUAUAAGAAUUUCAGGUUAUUCCAAAUGGACGUCAAAAGCGCCUUCCUAAAUGGAGUCAUCCAAGAGGAAGUUUAUGUGGAACAACCACCAAGGUUUGAAGACCCAAAGAAGCCAGACUCAGUCUUCAGACUGAAGAAGGCUCUGUAUGGUUUAAAGCAAGCACCUCGAGCUUGGUACGACAGAUUAAGUAAGUUUUUAAUACAAAAUGGUUUUGUCAAAGGUAAAAUGGAUACUACUUUAUUUAUCAAAAAGGAGAACAAAAGUUUCUUACUUGUUCAAAUAUAUGUGGAUGACAUUAUUUUCGGAUCUUCUAAUGAAAAUAUGUGCAAGAAAUUUUCUAAGUCUAUGCAGGAUGAAUUUGAAAUGAGUAUGAUGGGAGAAUUAACAUUCUUUCUUGGUCUUCAAGUAAAACAAUUGAAGGAAGGAACUUUUAUUUAUCAAGAAAAAUAUGUUAAUGAUCUUGUCAAAAGAUUUGGACUGGAAAAUUGCAAAAAGACCGACAUACCGAUGUCAAGUUCUUUGAAGAUAGACAAAGAUGAAGAAGGGAAGAAAGUUGAUCAAAAGCUGUACAGGAGCAUCAUUGGUUCACUCCUUUAUCUUACUGCUUCUAGACCUGACAUCUUGUUGAGUGUUUGCAUCUGUGCUAGGUUUCAAUCAGAUCCUAGAGAAUCCCAUCUCAGUGCUGCGAAACGCAUCAUUAAAUACGUUGCUUCAUCAUCAAGCAUCGGUCUUUGGUAUCCUAAGAAGGGAGACUUUAAUCUUCUGGGAUAUUCAGACGCAGAUCUGGCCGGUUGCAGAGUUGAUAGAAAGAGUACUUCGGGAACUUGCCAGUUGCUUGGAAGCAGGACAGUGUCUUGGUUUUCAAGGAAACAAAGCACUGUGUCUCUUUCAACAACAGAAGCAGAGUAUGUAGCCCUGGGAAGCUGCUGUUCGCAAAUUCUAUGGAUAAAACAACAGCUAAGAGACUUUGAAAUUGAAGACUCAUGCACAUAGAUUAAUUGCGACAACACCAGCGCUAUCAACCUCACCAAAAAUCCAAUUCUCCACUCAAGAGACCAUGUUCAAAAUGGAGAUGUUUCAAUUCAAUUUGUUGACUCAAAGAAUCAACUGGCGGAUAUAUUCACAAAGCCUUUGGAGAAAAAUCAAUUUGAGUCUAUACGCUCGAGACUCAACAUUUUGAGGUAUGAGGAUAUCAAAGUCUAAAGACUUUCAGACUCAGACUUAUAAGACUUUAUCUGAAAGACAGUCUUGGUACGUCCGUCAGACUGUAAGUCUUUCUAUCUUGAAUCUCAAACUUGAAAAGGUACGAUUGUCAGACUGUGUUUAAAUUGUUGCUAUAUUUAAUUGAUGAAAAUAUUGCAUCAUUUCAUUUUCAAAAGGGAAGUUAUUUUUUAAAUGGCUAUUUUUGCGGAAAAAGACAGUUAUUUUGAAAAGGCAUAUUUUUAUUUCCUUUAUGACGGUUCGUUUAUCCCUCUUUUAACCGAUCUUGAACUGUCGAUUCCUCUUCUCUUUUCUCUCAAAAACCCUAGAAAGCAUCGAUCCUCCAUUCCCGUUUGUUUUCUUCGUUUAAUCCUCAAAAAGUUGUCAUCUUUCCUGGGAAAGUCAAGAAAGGAAUCUUCCAAAAACUGAGAAAGAUGUCAUCUUCAAGAAAGUCUUCGAGAAUUGCAAGCAGGGGACCACGGCGGAUGAGUGAGGGGCCUACGCACUUCGAUCUUACUGAAGAUGAAGUGACUCCAGAUCAGCAAGAGAGCCCACAACAUUCUCAACAGCGUCAUUCUCCUCCAUCUAGUCCUCAAGGCGUUGAUCAUCAACAACAGGAAGAAAUCAUCGAGGAUGCAGACCCUAUAAGAGUUCAAAAGCCCGCUUAUAUUUAUCAGUUAUAUCGUGCCCUAAAAGGAAUUCGUACUCCUUUGAACUACAUUGAUGAUUUUCUUAAAGACAAAGGACAUGGGAACGAAUAUAUCUUUCUGAAAAAAAUGGAAAGUUUGGGAAUUGCUCGAAAAGGAGUGGCUGAGGAAACCCUUGCAAAUAUCCCAAGUGAUCCUCGUGACUGGGGGCCGAAUCCUGUAGAUGGGAAUGAUGAUGAUAAAUUGUACAGUCAAUUCCAACCGAAAAUGGGUGUUGCGGUUGAUAACCAAGGAAAAAGAGGAGAUUUGUUCAGAUCAAAGGAGCAAAAGGAUCUGUACUCGAAAUUGCUGAAGCGUGGGGUGAUAAACCCUAGGAGUGUAGAUUUUGAUUUUCUGGAUGCUGUGAAUAUGAACUUGAGGGAAAAGUUCAGUUAUCUUCAACUUGAAAAAUUCUGCUCUGACUCUACAAAGGCCUAUGUUGAAUUAACUGCAUAUUUCUAUUCAAAUCUAAGCUUUUUGGAUGCGAAUAGAUUCUCGUUCAGCGUUAAAGACCAAGAUUAUGUUGUGGAUAUGAAUAUGCUGGCAGAUGUGUUAGAAGUCGAAAGAGGAAGAUAUCAGCCAAUCCAAGUUUCCAUUGCUCGGGCCACUCUUGAACUGGUGAAGGACAGGAGAACAGAUGAAAAGAUCACCUACUUAAGGAUGGGUGCAUUUAACAUCUUGCUUCACAAGAUUGUGAUUAAUUGUCUCCGACCGAAAUCGACUUCCAAGACUGAUGUUUCAAGUUCAGAAGCCAAGUUGAUGUAUGCCAUUCUCUUUGGAAAAAGGUUUUCUCUCUCUCACACUGUGAUGUUUCACAUGUAUAGAGCAAUGAUGAAGGACAGAGGUCAACUCCCUUACCCAAGCCUUGUUACGAAGUUAUUCAGACAUCUGAAUAUUCAGCCUCCACAAAUCUUUUGUGUUCGACCAUGCGAUCAUAUGGUGGUAGGUCUGAAAAUGGUGAUCAAAAUGCGUCUGAAGGAACUGAGCAAGGAGUUGGAGAAAUUCAAGGAGAAGACUCCUGCAAAAUCUCAUCAAAUAUCUUCUGCAGCUAAAAGAAAAGGGAAGGAGCCCAUGGUUGCUCCAUCCAAGAGAAGAAGAGCUCUCCUUGUUGAGGAUGAAGAUGAUGAGGAAGACAUCACCAUCUCUGCAUUGGCUUUGAAGAAUUUAAGUCGUCCUGUUCCACAGAAAGAAUCGGAGCAAAUGACGAAAGAAGCAGAGGAGAAGGAAGAAGAAGAAAUAGAAGCUGAAAAAGAAACAGAGGAGGAAAGACCUGAAGAAGAAAGAAGAGAAGAAGGAGAACCUGAAGAACACUCUUCUCCACCUGUAGGCACGGAAACAGGGGGAGAUCAGGAGAAAGGAGUGAAGUCUUCAUGUCCUGAUGCAAGUGAAGGAAUCAGUCGCUCACCAGCAGACCCAGAAGAUGUUUAUGCAUCUCAAUUUCCAGAAGAAGGUCAUGAAGUUUCAUCGCCAAACUUGCAAGAUUAUGCUGAUCUACCAUCAUCUGCAUUUACUCCAUCAGAUCGAGCCAAAGCAAGUACUCAAACUGAUAAUGGAGCAGAUUUUCGCAGAAUCAUGGAUAUUCUUUUGGAGAUGCGAGGUCAGAUUUAUGCCUUGGGAUGCGAAGUUCAAAGCUUGAAGAAUGAAGGUCAAGCUUCUUCCUGUUCAUUGAAUGAUAAAAUGCAAGCCCUCUCUGUUCAGAAUCAAGCCAAUGCCAAGAGUGAGGAGAUUGCACAGCUAAAUGAAGACUUUAAAAGGCUGGAAGGCAUCGUUCAGUCUAUGGAAGAUUUCCAGCUUGUCCGCGUUCCCAAGCAAUCUUAACUUCAUCUCAUCCUUUUUAAUGAUGACAAAAAGGGGGAGAGAUGCAAGAUUUGAUAAAAAAAAAAACCUUUCAUUCAACUUUUAAUUGUUUUUGUUGGAUUGUUUUGUGGUUUGAAUUUGUUUGACUUUGGUUUUGUGUCUGGAUGAGAACUGAACUAGACUUGGACUUGACUGCUUUUAUUAACUAAUAUUGAUAUCUUAUGGAUGGCUUCAUCAUAUACUGGACUAACCUAUUUUCUGUGGUUGCAGAUUCUAGUGUUAUUCUGUUAAGACAUUUACCUCUAUAAGAUAUGCAUAUGUGUUUGAGAAAUGUUUUGCAGGUCAAAGAUAUCCAAAUCUGCAGGAAAGUUUUGUCACCAUCAAAAAUGGGGAGAUUGUUGGAGAAAUCUUCUUGAAGUAUUUUGAAGUUGACAAAUCGUUUCUAUCAGUCUAGUCUGAAGGCUUGCAGACUCUGCUAUUUAAAGUCUGAAGACCUUGGUCCAACCAGACUCAAGACUCAAAGUCUAUCUUCAUUGACAGUCUCUAAUCCGUUGAAGAAAGGUUAUCCAGAACUUGAUGUUCCGUUGAGGAUUUAACCUUAUCAACUGGAGAAGAUCUCAUGGCUGGAGAAGACAUAAACGGAGUCCUUUGAUUGAUCGAAGAUUGAUUCGAUAAUUGAAGAUCCGGUGAUUGCCUAAAUAUUAUUGGAAGGUUCUGCUUAUGGAAACCGAGAUCCUGAUUGUAUGGGCGAAUAGGAUUGAUGGGCUAUCAACACGUUCCAUUUAUAGCUUGGACAAACUUCCUAAUUGAUUCCGUCCAACGAGUAGAUUGGAGGAAUUCCUUUGGUAAGUGCCAACGGGUAUGAUGGCAUAAAGGAGUAUAUAAGGAAGACUGUCUUAGUUGUUCAAGGUGUGCGCGAUAGAAGAAUUUCAAAGUCUGAAGCUCCUUUUUGUUUAGACAAAUCCUUUGAGCGAAUACUUGUAUACGAAAGAGAGAGUCUAUAUUUGUGAGAAAUCUUGAGGAGGUGUGGUAGAACAUCUACACUGUGGAAUCAAGGCAAAGCUGUGCUGUAACCUCUCUCUUGUUCAUAGUGGAAUCCAGCCAAUAGGCUGUCAGUGAAGAAGAGUGGACGUAGGCUUGAUAUAAGCCGAACCACUAUAAACCGCGUGUUCAAUUUUCUCUUCUCUCAGUCUUACUUUGAUUAUCGUUUCAUCCAACUGUCUAGUAUUGUGCAAUUGCUUGAGAAAAAAUUCUUUAUAUACCUAUUCACCCCCCUCUAAGUACUCAUACUAGCAAUAUCACAUACCAGUCAAACCAUCGGGACCUGGGGCUUUUGAAGCACCUAACUGAAAAGUGGCAUCUUUUACUUCUUCCAUUGUUACCUGUGCUAAAAGCAUGUUGUUCAUUUUUGUGGUAACCAUCUGUGGACAUUGUUGUAGAAUCUGGUCAUAACAGCAAGGGCCAGAGGUUGUGUAUAGGAGUGAAAAAUAAUUUGUAGUCAUUUGUUGGAGCUGGUCAGGAUCCCGAAUCUAUUGUUGAUGGUUAUCUCGCAAUACUGAAAUAUGAUUACGUUGUCAUCUUUGGAGAGUAGUGGCAUGAAAAAAUCUAGUAUUGUGAUCUCCCCACCUUAACCAAUUUAUCCGAGAACGCAUCGCCCAAUAUUGCUCUUCCCUCUACCAUACUUUGUGAAGUUCUGCUUUUAAAAGUUGUUGCUGUGCCUAAUUUAGAGAGGUAGGGUAUUGGUUAGUCAGCAUUUCUAACUGGUGCUCCAAUUGUGUUGCCUGUUGUCUGUUGUGGGAGAACCUCUUACGACUCCAAAUGGAUAAAUCAAUAGCAACCGCAUGUAGUUUUGCUGAUAGAGGAGAGUCCUUUCUUGAACCGGAUUGCCAAGAGGUUUGAAUGACUGAGCGACAAUUAGGAUCCUGAUUCCAGAAGACUUCAAAGGUAAAAUGUCUUUUUCUUCGAACCAUGCAAGGUUUUGUAUUUAAAACAAGUGGACUAUGGUCUGAUCCUACUGCAGGGAGUGCAAUCACCUGAGCAUUUGGGAACAUAACGCGCCAGUCAGCAGUGCAGACAGCUUGAUCAAGACGUUCCUUUACCAAUGCAUCCCCAUCUCGAUUGUUGGACCAAGUGAAUGCGCAGCCAUGAGAAGGAAGAUCCAGCAAGUUGCAAUCAUUGAGAACCUCUUGAAAAGAAGAAAAGCGAUAAGAGUUAGCAGGUCGAGAUCCCAUUUUCUCCCAACGGUGAAGAAUUUCAUUAAAAUCACCACGGCAAACCCAAGGUAAAGCAUUGGAUCUGCUAUUCUGUCUCAAAGUCUGCCAAAGAUACUAACGAUCUUGAUAAACUGCAGGAGCAUGAAGACAAGUAAUCCUCAUGGACCUUCCUUCCGAAAUGUCCUAGUUGAUGAAAUCAAAAUAAUGCUGAGAGGAGGUGAAAUCAGUCAACUGAAAGCCAUCAUUCCAAAAAAGGGCCAAGCCACCCGCAGAGCCAACAGGGCUGAAUACUCGAAGAUGCAAAAAACGCAAGGUACGUUUCAAACGAAAUAAAACAUCAUCACCAUUCUUUGUUUCCAUCAAAAACAACAAGUAUUAUGGGAUACCGGUUUUAGAUUUUUCUUUUUUUUAGACGAAAAUUAUUUACUUCGAUUCUAUGUUAGACUUUUGGACUCGCUUGCAAAAACGGAAAAAAAUAAAAAUAAAAAGAAGAAGAAGAAGACGGAGAUGACAUUAAAACUAUGGGUAGGGAAGGGAUAACCCCACGUUAAGAAAAAUGGAACUAAGUAGCAGGCGGUAUUAUUGCGAUGUCGAAGGGUACGAUGGGAACAUUUGACUAGGCCAAAGGAAAACGGAAUUUUCCAUUACUAAUAUAUGUUAAAAUGUCCAAUUCAAAAAUUUAAAUUUAUCCGUAGAGAAAAACCAUAUAUAUAUACUACGUAAGCUCUAUAAAUAAGUGAUAUGAGAUAUUUUAACAAUCCAUUUCACAUACACAUCGAAUUGAAAAUGGCACUUGAAAUUUAACAUGAAGCAUUAUAUGUGAAAUAAACUGAGAUAGAGCCUGAUUCUGUUAUCAUAUUAGAAUGUCUAAACAAAAGUUAAAAUUUAUCAUUGAGAUGGAUUACGUGUAAAUAAAAAACAUAUUAAUCAUGUAGAUAAGCAACGGGGCAAUGCAUAAUGUACACUGAACACUCUUUCUGCAAAAUUUUCAGCUUACUAAUUUGUAUACUCGCUCAUGACUUAAAAUCGACCAACGAAAUAGCUCAAUGGGCAAAAUUUAAGAAAACGACAUAGCUUGCUAUCAAGUCUCAUCCACCAGUAGGUUCAUUAUAUAGCUCUUCUGAACAUGUACAUUUUAAUAUACAGAAAUACAGUUGAAUAGCUAAUAAUUGUGUGAUUUUGAAGAUCUGCUUAUGACAUGAUCAAGUGAAAAAAAAAAAAAAAUUAUCAACUGUCGUAGUAGUACCAAAGAAGAUGGUUAAUAAAACUGACAAAUGAUGGUAAUUUUUCAAUUUCUCAGUCAAAAUUUGAGAUCUUAAUUCCUUACGGCUGUCUAAUCAUAUUGUCACGCCUUGAAUUUAUUUAGAUACUAAUUCAAGAGUUGAGUAUCAUAGCACUAGCUAUCUCCUACGUUAUAAUUAGCUCUAAACAUUAAGGGCAUGUUUGUUUUUAUUCUUUUUUUAUGUUUUCGAACAAAUUUUUUGUUUUUCUGUUCCAGGGAACAAAAAAAGAACAGAAACAUAUUUGUUUGCGUUUUUGUUCCAAAUCUAUUUUUUUGUUCCCAGGAACACAUUUGAAACAAAAAUGGGAACAAUUUUUAAAAACAAAUUUUCUCUCUCCUCUCUUUUUCUUCUUUUUUUUUUCUUCUUUGGCUGGUCACUGGCCUCGGCCAUGGCCAGCGAUCAGCCGUCAAGGGCCAACGACGCUGUCAAGGGCCGGCGACCUCGUCGGAGCGUCAUCAGCCCCCAAUGAGGCCGAGCAUCGCCGGCCCCUCGGCCUCGCCUUGGCUGGGCGAGCUCGCCUAGAUCCAAUGAGCCUGAGCUCGCCUAGCCACCGACGAGGCUCGACGACCUGGCGGUGGCCCAGUGAGGCCGAGCCUCGUUGGUGAGUGGGCAAGCUCAGGCUCGCCCAGAUCUAGCAAGCCCAAGCUCGCCCAACCAAGGCCAGGCCGAGGCUUGCCCAACCACGGCGAGCCUCACCGUCGCUAGGCGAGGUUGCCAGCCCUCGUCAGCCGAUCGCCGGCCAUGGCCGAGGCCGGCGACCGGCCAAAAGAAGAAAAAAAGAAAAAAUAAAGAAAAUAAAAAUAAAAAUAUUUAAAAAUUAAAAGAAACAAAAAAUGAAUACAAAUUUACUAAACGUGUUUCUGUUCAUUUUUUAUUCUCGGAACAAGUUUACCAAACAUUUUCUUCUGUUCAAAAAUUAUUCCCCGGAGCAGAAAUAAUUUUUUCUAUUUCUGUUCUCUGAAACAAUUUUUGAACAGAAACGUUACCAAACGCGCUCUAAUUCUCCAUAUAAAUCAACCGUGGAUCGAUAUCAUUCAUCAUUCGCUAACUUUUUGUACACCCAUUCCUCGUCAUGGGCCAUGUAGCAUAGAAAGUUUAGCAUCCCUUUUUUCCCCUUCUUUUGGCACAUGCUUCGUAUAUUUUUUUUAGUUCACCCGAGUACAAACAAAAGAUUAAGCACCUCCUAUAAAAAGGAAGAAAUUCCCUCGUCUUGGGCUCCAUAGAAAGCUCACGGAGUAACACGAGAUCCUUUCAAGACCGAUUAAAUACUACUCUACGUACGCUUUUGCAGCUCUCAUGUCCCUAUCACAACAUAUUUGCUGACUUCUAUCGUUACUCAACCAAAUAAAGCAAAUUCGAAUAGAUGAUGAUGAUGAUAACGAUGAUGAUGAUGAUCACGAUGACAGCGACCAUGAUGGUAAUAGUAAAAAAUUAUAAUUAGGCUAAUUAUGAUCUGAUCGGUUACAGAUCAGGAAACAAUGAGACCUAUAUCAAGUCUCACUAAUUGGACACCAAAAAGUGCACCCAAAAAAAAAAAAAAAUUAAAGAGUGUAUAGCACGUUCUUCAAGCUCUCGAGCACCAGUCUUGCCUCGUCUAUUCGAUUCCUACUUCGGCUAUAUUCAAGCUCUUCCUUAUGUCGUCUAUUCGAUUCCCACUUCGGCUCAAAAGCAUGCACCUUCACAACUCAAUCCUUCGGCUGCUCUCACCCGAUUCCAAUCUUGUGGUGUCGAACCCGGUCGGAGCUUGGCACCGUCCCUGAUGACCCGCCGCUGACGAACCUCCGUCCUUCCUUCUCCUUGAACUCGAGCUGCUCUCGAGCGCAGCACUGGCCUUGACGGCGAGCGAGCAGAGCUCUUGGAGAGAGAGAGGGGCUCGCGACAUGGAGAGAGGCAAGAGGAAAUAGAGUUGGCCCAGACGUAGGUCUUCUUUUUCCUGAAUCUGAGGGACUAUGGAGUCGAUGAACAUGG
This 45627-nucleotide long non-coding RNA is filed under the name Eucalyptus grandis. RNAcentral's name for it is "long non-coding RNA (EGRA_LNC004011)". Lineage: Eukaryota; Viridiplantae; Streptophyta; Magnoliopsida; Myrtales; Myrtaceae. The record is from RNAcentral.